AAGAGAGAAGCUACGAUCGCUGCUGUGUUCUCGUUGUUGAAGCUUACGAGAGAGACAAAGAUUCCUUCGUAAUUGUUUCCAACUUCGUUUCAAUUUCUCAACUGGUAAGCUCUCUAAUCUCUUCGUUUACUUUCGUGUUCUUGGGGGUUUGUGUUUCGUCCUUCCGAUUAAUCAUCUGGUUCUGUAGAAUCUCCGAUCAUCUGCUAAAUUAGGGUUCCUGCGAUUCUUGGUUUUCGGAAGAUUAAAGAAUUUUUAUAUGUGGUGAAAUUUCGAUAGGGGUUUUUGUUUCACAAGUGAUUAUUAUGAUUCGAAAUCUCUCGCUGUUCUUUGUUACGAUGAAUCUUCAAGUGAGAUUGCUAUCUCAAUGUGUGUAUAAUAUAAUAUGAUUUUGUCUCGUUGAUUUUGUGAUGCAGAAGAGCCAUGAUUGGGUUAUUCAAAGUUAAGGAAAAGCAAAGAGAAGAAGCUAAAAACACCAACAGUAGAGGAGCUUCUGUCAAGAAACAAUCUGCUGGCGAACUUCGUCUUCACAAAGGUUCUCACUUUCUUCUGCUUUUGACCUAAUUCAGUUUCUGAUGUUGAACAAAUUGUAAAAUUUCUGUAUAGAUUUUUGGGCUCUUCAAGUGAUAGAACUAAGUAUUGUUUCUCCAUAUAUAUCUUUUGUUGUGUAUAGAUAUAACAGAGCUGAAUCUGCCAGAGUCUUGUACAAUAUCUUUUCCGAAUGGGAAGAAUGACUUGAUGAACUUUGAAGUUACCAUUAAACCCGACGAAGGUUAUUACAAGUAAGCAUAUCAAAUCUUCAUCUGCCCUUUUGUCUCUCGGGUUUACUGAAUCUGCUUGAACACACACAAACUCAUUCGUUCUUCUUUUACCAAAAACAGAAAUGGUAAAUUUGUAUUCACAUUCCAAGUCUCUUCGGUGUAUCCACAUGAAGCUCCAAAAGUUAAAUGCAUUACCAAGGUUAGGCUCUCUCUUCAAUCUCUGAAGUGUGUCGAUCUUUCUAGAAAUAUGAUAUAUUUGUUAUCCUUUGUAGGUCUACCAUCCGAAUAUCGAUUUAGAAGGUAAUGUUUGUCUGAACAUCUUGCGUGAAGACUGGAAACCGGUUCUCAACAUAAACACAGUUAUCUACGGUCUUUUCCAUCUCUUCACGGUAACAAAUAUCCCUUUGCAGAUACUCUUUCUACUGAUUCAACUUUCUUGGGGACUAAGUGUUUUUGGCUUCAUACAGGAACCCAAUUACGAGGAUCCUCUGAACCACGACGCAGCAGCGGUUUUAAAGACUAACCCGAAGCAGUUUGAGACCAAUGUUAGGAGAGCUAUGGGCGGUGGUUAUGUUGGCAACACCUCAUUCCCUCGUUGCAUCUAGGCAGGAGUGUCUGGUUCGGUUUCAAAGCACUCAUCUUUCUUUUCUUCGUCUCAAGAAACUUUGUGUCGUUGGCUCUUUUGUACAUUUGUCUUUGACCAAGUGAUUUUAGGUAUCUUCUUUAACUGUUUUCAAUUUUUAUUUCGAACAAAAUGUAGUAAGCAUCAAAACACAAGCCAAUCCAAAAAAACAAUAGUAGUAACAAAGCUUUAAUGACUCUCAUUGCGCAUCUCUACUUCUUCUCUAGAAGUUGGAGUUUUAUUGGUUUUCCUAUCAUUCCGGAAAAUAAAAUGUAACGGUGUGUAACAAAGACCACACAAUUCCAAACGGGACGGCCAUCAUCAACAUGAUCCCCUUGGACAACGCCUUGGCCUCACGACCAGAGUCUUUAAUAUUAUCAAUUCCUUUUGUGCCAAACCCGAAAACUUUCUCCGACAUGAUCCCAACCAAAGGAGCACCGAACGACGAAAAAGACACUUCGAGUGCACGGUCAAAGGCGUAGACCAUGGUUCGAUGUGUAGGAGGAACAAUCUCAGCUAAGAUUGGAGAGUUAAUGGCUGGUCCACACCAAGUUAUGGUGAGACCCAUUAGGAAAAGAGUUAGCAAGUAGAUGUAGUAACUGUUAGUAGACUGUGGGAUUAUUUGUAGAAGAAUAAUGGAGAAUAUAGCUCCCAUGAAAACGCUGAAUUGUGCGCAAAUCAAUAUGCCUGAGUUUGGAAAGAGAUGUGACAUUUUGUCUGCAAUUAUUCCUCCGAUUAAAGAUCCUAUUGAUUGUCCCGUGGUGAAUAUUCCGUUCAGAAGCGCCGCCUGAUUAUGACUAAAACCUGAAAAUUAAAAUAAAAUAAAAAACAACUUUGAAAAUAGUUUUUUGGUUGUUUGAUUAGGAUAAUACCAUUUCUAUGUUUCAUAAUGGUCUAGAAACGGGAUGAACAUUUAGUUUUAGUGCAAAUCUAUUUUUAGUUCAGUUCAAUUUGUGGUUUAAUUUUUGAAAAAAUAAUUCAGAAGUAAAAUAAUUUUACCUCUUCAUCUUUCGACUUUAGUAGUAGUAUAAAGAUUUGGUUUUGCUAGACCUUAAAGAAUCUUAUAUAUAAAAGAUGACCAACUCUCUCCAUAUGAAUGACACAUCAUCAUUUUCAAUUGAUAUGGAGAUGACAUGUGUCACUUUUUAUAAUUUAAAGUUAUAUUUUUUCUAAAAAGUAAUAAAUUACUAAUUUUUAAUAUCAAGUUUUAAACCACUCAAAAAAAUGAACAGUUUUUUUCAUUAAUUGAUUGAUAUUGAUUGGUAUUUAUUUUAUUUUAUAUAAUUCUCAUUUUUUAAUGAUAUUGUAUUUAAAAUUGUUUUUUUGGAUAAAAUUUUUAAAAUUAUUAUAAUAACAUAUUAACACACAUAACAAAUAAUGAUUAUAUGAUAUUGUAUUUUAAAUUGAACUAAGAUUAUUUUCUUUUUUGGAUAAAAUUUCAUAACAAAUAAUAAUAAAAAUUGUUUUUAUAUUUAUAAUUAUAUUUGCUUUUGAAUUUAUGAUAUUGCAUUUUAAAUUAAUUUCUAAAAUUAUUUUUUUAUCUAAAAUUUUUAAAAUUUUUUAUAGUAAUAUAUUAACACACAACAAAUAAUGAUUAUAUUUGAUUUUAUAUAAGAUUUGAAUAGUUAAAAAGAAAAACUUGCACAUUAUGUGCGGGUAUUCACCUAGUUAUAACGAAUAAGGACUUAAUAAACCAUAUAAUUCAGGUAGAACGUAUGUUUUCUUUUUGUUGAUAAUGUAUGUUUUGGUUUUAGGUGCAAACUAUAAUUAAGAAUGGAUGCACAAGGAUGCAGCAGAACUGAAGUAGUUUAUCAAGUUGUUAAUUUCGGCUUUUAGAAUGAAAAAGGAUUAAUCAAGUUGUAAAAACGUUUAUUUUUUCUUUGAAUAUAAUUUAACAAUAUUUUAUUAAAAAAAAAAAGAAUGGAUGCCUACCAAUGAGUUCGAACCACAUUGUCCAGAAAACCAUUGCAUUCCAUGGCACCGAACCUAUAAUUCCCUGCAAUAUGAUGAUUUGAAAUGUUCGUAAUUUGGCUACAUCAUUUAUGGCCACCCACGAUUCCAUCCAAUUCGAGCUUCAACUCUCCAUUGUUGCAUUGUUUUCAUCUCUACAAAAGCCGCAUGACUAACUCAAAAACUUAGGACAAUUGAAAAUAAUAAGAAGCUAUAAUCAAGAAUGUAGAGAUUUAUAUCACCGUUCAUGGUCAAGAACAUUGGAGCUACUAGUUUUCUUCUUCUCUCUCGGGUCAGUGACAAAGAAAAAAACAAGAAACCCGAUCAUCGUACUUACCGUUGCACUCAGUAGAUAGGCGCAGCGCCAGCCCGAGACUCCGUCAAAAACAUGACCAGCCAUGACCGUAGGCACGACGGUUCCACCUAUACCUCCAACCGUACCAAUGAGAUUCCAUAAACCAAAACCAAAACCUCUUGCACUAUCCUUAAAGCUAUCCGCGAUUAUCGACUGAAGCACCGGAUAAACAAUUGCAUGUCCAAACCCAUUGGCUGCUGCGCCAAAGGUUACCUAGUCCAAGAUAAUAAUAUGAACCAAAAAUCAAAUUUAAAAUCUUUUCUUUUUAAAGAGGGGAAACAUAUGUUUUUGGUCCCACGACUCCUAAUAUUGGACCUGUAAGUAACCAAAACGGUCGUUUGGAAGUUCCACAAUAUACUCAAAAAUUAGUAUCACAGUCACGAAAAAUAGUUUAAUGAUCUUGACACAAAUUAUUCGUUUAUUAGAGGGUUUUUUUCCUUAAAAUGUUAAUUUUUUUUUCUAUUUUCAUUAUAUGUUCUCUAGUCAAUGAUUUAUUUUAGUUAAAAAUCUUUUUUUGUCGUAAGUCUUAACGGUAUUGAUCUUAAGUUUUAAAAUCUAGACAGGCCGGUGUCUAGAUUUUUUCAUUUAUAGUCAAGAAUAUUUUUUGGUGCAUGCUCCCAAUUUAAUAUAAACUUUGGUGCAAAAGCUUAGACUAUAAUAGGAAGAGAAGAAAGAAAAAAAGAAGCUUAAACCUGGAUGAAGUAGCGGCUGACUCCAGUUGCAAUAGUUGAUAUGACCCAAAAGAAGCUACCGACCGCAAAAACCGUGGGGCGGUCAUAGCUGAUGGCCAAUAAACCGGCUAAAGGCGAGGCAGCUCCUUGAACAAUAUUUCUUAUAAACGAGAGGAGUCCAAUACUAGAGAGGUUCGCAUCGAAUGCUUCUUUCAAUUCUUUGGCAGUUGAAGGAAUGAGUUUUUCGUCUGCUCGUUGCAUCAUUGUGGCCAAGUUAAUGAUAAUGAGCGAAAUAGAGAUUCCAUAAAUGGUCCCUGUUCUAUGGACAUAGUAGUACACAUUGUAAGAAAUCUACCAAGAAAUGUGGAAUGUAUAGUGACUAGAGUCUAAUAAUUUGUCAAAAAAACCAUCAAUAGAAAGGAAAAAAAUAGUAAUGUAUAAAUAGUGGGCUUAACACUAUGAAAUUGAGUAAAAAUAUACUCUUAAUGGAAGAAGAAAAAGAUGACGAGAUAAAAGGAUAUUAUGAAGAAAAAGUGAAAAAUGCUUACUUCAUUUUCAUGGUUUUGGUAUGAAGACGAUUGGGUUGGGGGCAUAGAAACGAAUACAAUUUUCACUCGAAUGGAGGUGAUUUUUAAGAGAAAAAUGUUUUCCAACUAACUGCUAUAAUAAAAACAAUAAGGGGGGUUAAUGAUAUUUAUAUUUGAAAUGUUAUGACAAUGAAUAAGAAUGGUCCACUUAACGAAGAAAACAUUGGAAACAAAACAAAUAGCGAUUCUGAUUUUUGUUUUGUUUUGUUUACUACUCCUACUUAAUACUUAGAUUCUGAAUAGCGAUCAAAAAUAGGCAAAAUACAAACAUUGUAGGAAGAAGAUCUAGUCAGAUUUAAUUUUUCAUUAAACGCUUUGUUUUUUUUCUCUGGAAAUUAAAAUCAUCUUUAAAGUUUUCUUUCUCUUAUAUAAUAAAAGAAAAAAUUAUGUGAAUGAAAAUAUUAUGUGUUCACAUAACCUUUUUAUUCUGUAGUCUACAUGAGUGUUAAUGGGGCUAGUCCGACUUAGCCCGUUCUAAAUUCUGUAAACCAUUAUCGCAAGCUUUUUUGGAGCUUAUAUUAAAUUGUUGGUUGGGUCGGGACAAAACUAUAAGAUUAGUCUGAGUAUUUCGGAUCCUUCUCAGUGAUAAAUAUGUUCUUUUUUUUUAACAAAAAAAAUCAAUUAAAAAAUAUAACUCACAACAUAUAAAACAUUAGAAAGAGAGUGACCAUGAAGAUGUAACAAUUCUCAUGUCAUUUCUAUUUCUCAUGAACCAAGAUUUCUAGCGAUUUAUCGAUCUUUCAGAAAAAGAAAAUGUAACGGUGUGUAACAAAGACAACACGUACAAUCCAAAAAGGAUAGCCAUCAUCGACAAGAUACCCUUCGACAACGCCUCGGCCGCACGACCAGACUCUUUAAUAAGAUCAGUUCCAUUUGAGUCAAACCCAAACAUUUCUCCGACAUCAUCCCAACCAAAGGAGCACCAAAUGAUGACAAAGACCCUUCAAGGGCACGAUCAAAGGCAUAGAUCAUGGUUCAUAAAAAAAAAUUGGUCAGAUUUUUUAAAAAUUUGAUCGUGCACUUGAAGGGUAAUAUAUUAGAAAUAUAUUAUUUUAAUUAAACCACAUUGCAUUCAUUCAACUCAUACAAACAACAAUAAUGACAUGUAACAUUUGUGGCAUUAUUUAACGUAUAUAUGACAUCUUUCUUUUGAACAAAAUAAAAUAAAAUAUUAAUAGAAUGUAAUCUUUAUUUUUUUUUUCGACGAAAUAACAUUAUUUAAUUUGGCAAAGAUGAAGAUACAUAGUCCUUAUGAAGGUAAGGUGUUAACCAAAUAGGAGGAUUUAUACAACCAGAAAAGAAAGAAGGUGUUAAUAGAAUGUAAUCUUUAUUAUACUCUUUAUUAGUAUACUAAAUAAUCUUUCUCUCCAUAAAAUAACUGAAAUAAUAGAGGUGAAAUUGAGAUUUAGAGUUAAAUUUUGCUUUGGAAAUACACUCAUAAUUACCAAUUUGUAACGAUCGAUUAAACCUUAAAAAAAUGACGUCAAUCUAACAUUGAAAAAUAUUGUACAUUGUACAUAUAUAGGUUGGACAUGGAUUAACUAUAUUAUUUGCCCAUCACGACAUAAGACGACAUUGUUUUGCCCAUUCGAAGAGAGAACUAUGAGACGACCCACCUUGAGCCCAAGCUUGUUCAGAGCUAACCCUCACUUCCUCAGCUUUAGCCCUUAUCUUCCGUCCUUCUUCAUCCUCUUCCGCCACAAUCUUUCUAACCAAAGACGCCACUUCUUCCCGGCCAAUCACUUUCUUCGCCGGUAACACCGACGUACGAACAGCCACACCGAUCUCCUCCGUUAGCAACGUGGCAUUCAUCCAUUGCUCAGCAUAAAGAGGCCAAGCCACGAUCGGAACUCCUUUAGUCAAACUCUCCAACACUGAGCUCCAACCACAGUGAGACAAGAACCCACCUAUCGAUCCAUGGCUCAAGAUCUCAACUUGCGGUGCCCAUUGCGUGACGACAAGACCCAUACCACGCGUGCGGUCCAAGAAACCUUCCGGUAGACUGGCACUCACCUGAUCAUCAUCGUCUCUCGAGCUCGCACCGAGGUAAGAAAUGGGCCUGCGUAGAACCCAUAAGAACCUCUGACCACUUAACUCUAAACCCCAAGCGAGCUCAAUCGUUUGCUCUAACGACAACGUUCCACCACUCCCUAAACACACGUACACCACUGACCUGUCACGUUGCUUGUCUAACCACUCGAAUAUACUAUUGGGCCUUUUGAUAGGCCCAUUAUUCCUAACAAUAGGCCCAAUAGCAUAAACCGGUAUUUUCAUUACCCGGCUCAAUUCUCCAUCCUCCCUGAGCGCAUCAAGAGUGUUUCCUUGCAACUCCUCCCAAGUAUUCACCAAAACUCCAUCGCUCAUAGGUACCUCCUCGCCAAUCCGUACACACUCCCGGUACUGCUGGUUCGACCGGUCUAACACUGUUUCCAUAAGAUCAUCCGGUCCGACCGAUCUACAACCCGGUAUUCUCAUAGGCUCUUUGAUAUCAACGUAUUCCCCUUCGAUAACCUUGUCCAAUACCGGCAAGUACACCAUCUCUGCCAAGAACCACGCGUGUGAAGGGACGUACACGUACUUAGCCGUCACGCCGACGUCAUCAGCAACGGGCAUCAACCCGGUACCUAAAAAGUCAACGAUCAUGACCGUCGGUUUUCGCUUCAUUGAUUUCACGGCUUCUCGAAACGUGGGCUUCAUGGCUUGCAUCUUCACUACGAUCUUAGUGAACACUGUCGCAUCUGAAUCCACGAGAUUGUCUACAUCAACCGAGGGUAAUUCCGUAACUUCACAGGUACCUCUAGCCACGGCUGCUUGUAUGGCCUCGGUUUCUGUUGGAGAGGAGGAACCGGAGGUGACGGCGAGAAUGGUGACGUGAACAUUGAGGACGGAGGAGAGACGGUUUCCGAGUUCGAGGAUAGGGAUGAGGUGGCCUAAGCCAGGGCUAGCGACUAGGAGCGCGUGAGGCUGGUCCAUGAUCUAUAUAUAAGGUUUUGUUAAGAAUGAUUAUGAAUCGAGAGAAUGUUAUCAUAAAAAGAUUUUUAUUUAUGUGACAUCUUCGAACACAUACCUGUUCUUGUAUAAGAAGAUGUUUCUUGCUUGUCAAUGGCAAUGCAUGAAAUAAGACUGGAUAUAAUUAUUAUUGCUUUUAUAAUGGAUGAGUAUUUACCAUAAUUAAGUUCAUAUUUAUUCAUGUGGCAAUUGCUAUGCGUGGAUUGUAGUCGAUCUGGGUCAUUGACAAGUAACAUACUGACAUGCAUGUUAAUUAUUACGCAUAAGACCAAACGUUAUGCUACCACUAACAAGCAUGCCUACUUUCUUACCUAACUGUUUUUUUUUUUUUUGUGAAAGGUACUGAAGCCUAACUUUGUCUACCAAAAGAAAAAAGGACAAUCUACGUGUCCCGAUGUUUUCCAAAAUUGUCCAAAGCAAGAAGAAGAAAUGACAAAAAAAAGUCAUUUUUUAGUGGGUUUUUAACAGAAAUUUAAUAUUAAACAAUUGAGGCUGCGUUUCUAGUUUGGCAGAAACUUCUCCUAUUUGGGAACUUUUGAAGACGUUUCUUCAAACACUGUUUCUUCAAACACGUGAAGAGAUAUUAUUGGUUAAACUAUUUGAGAAAACAUUUUUUUUUUCUAAAAGUUUCCCGAUAGUUUUCAUUUCUUCCACCUGCUCUCUUCUUCGACGAAAUCGAGGAGAACACGAUCUGUUUCCGGCAGCUUCUCCGACGGUCGGCAGUUCUCAGACGGUGGCUCAGUGGUCCGAAAUCGACGAUGUUUUCAGAUAAAUUUUAUGAACCCUAAUCUCUGGAUUUUCAUCUGAAAAUGGCGAUCCUCGUUAAACCAAAACAGAAAUAGUGAUUGGUUUCUCGUUUGCGGAUUACUGUUAAGUAGAGAAUCCAUCAUUCCGUUGUCGUUCUGAUUACACCAAAUCAAAAUCUCAUGAAUCAAAUGCGAAUUAGGGAUUAGAAAGCUUCUGAUUGAGGGAUGGUUUGAAUUGGAAGCUUCGACAUGUUAUUGGAUCAAGUUUUUUUGCGUUUUCCUCUGUUUUCUUAGACUCCCGUGUGUUUCCAGAAGAUUUGGAUAGAUAAUUCGACGAUCAUUGUACAUUGUUUGAGAUCCUUUUGCUUAAUUACAUGUCAAUCGUGUAGAAACUCAGGUUUAGCUACAUAAAAUGCAUUGCAGGAUAAUCAGAUUGAUUUGCUGGUUUUUUUUUAUAGAAUGGAAGGUGACUCGAGGUAUCGUCAUUUUCAGAUGGUGACAACGACAACAUUGAGCGCCGUAGUGCAGGAGAGGUAGAAUCUGAGCUCGUAAAAAGGAAAGCUAGCAGUGAAAUCUGAGCGUCGUAGUGCAUGGAGGUGCUUGUAACACCCAGCAAGAGAGAUAACUUAAAGGGAAAAUCAAGAACAGCAACAGUGAACGAGAAACAGGGGAUCAACGUAGCGAAUGGAGUGGGAGAUAAAGACUUGGGUCAUAUCGUGAAGACCAUUAUACGUUUAGAGCUAGGAGGUCACAUAGACAAGAGUUUUAGGGAAAGGUUCUUGACAUGGUAUAGCUUAAGAGCUAUUCACCGAGAAGUUAGAAUCGUGAAGCUCUUUGUGGACACAUUCAUGGAGGAUCUGUCUUCUUUGGGACAACAGCUUGUGGACACAGGAACAGAGUCUGGGUAAAAAUUGCAGUACAUAUUACUACAUGCGAAAUGCAGCUUGAACCCUCAUCCUUUUUGGCUCGUGUUUAAGACGGCAUGAGAAGGACCUGUAAGAGAGGAGAAAUUGAUGAGGCAAAUUGAUUAAUACGAAAACAAAACUGGAUGCAAAGAGUCACGAGAAGACGUUGAUGAUUCACCUUCAUUGCAGCGUAGACAUGGAGCAACAAAAUGCUGAGCCUGAGAAGUUGUUAAAUUCCAUUAUCUACAAAAGACGUUGAUGCUUUACCUUCAUUGCAGCUUUAAAAGCUAAUUCAGACAUACUAGUACAACCUACACAAAACAGCUUGAUGGUAAAAAUUUGGAUUAAAACAUAAAUUUUUUUUUUUUUUGAAACCCCAAAGGGUCUCUGCAUUAGACCUUAAAAAUUCUACCUCUUCUUAACUAAGUUUCUAAUCCAAUAAUAAUAUUUAAAAAAUCAAUAAGAGACUCAUAUGCGUCUUUGCAUUGCUCUUACUCGCGCCGUAUACUUCCGUUUGACGACAUGUGUGUGCUGCAUGCAUACAUAUCUUCUCAUAAUCGGACUCGUAUCUCCGAAGAUCACCUCACUACACAAAACAAGGACAACUUAUUCUAAGUUAUCUGCACAAAAUUAUUUAAUUUUGUUUUUCUUCGAUUUGUCCAUCAUGUGAUCAUGUCCCAACAGAAUUCUUUACAAAACUUUAGCAAACAAACAAAAAAAAUUAAUUCGUUGCAAACGUCCAUAGUUAUAUUUUUCACCCACAAUUUUCUGCACAAAAUAGCACACUAGUCUCAAUUUUUAAGGACGCAUAAUUCUCGCCUUAUUGUGUUCCAUAACAUUUCUGAAAUACAUUUAAGACCGACAAAUUAUUAAUGAAUUUAUAGUAUAGACAUAUAAGUAUUAUGUAAUAGAACGUAAUUAUACUAUAAAUUUUAGUAAAAAUGCGUAGAUCUAUCUAAAUUUUUUUAAAUCUCUGUAAAAUUUAUUUUUAACUAUUACAAAAAAUGCUAAAUUUCUUCUUUGUUUAUAUUUUUAUGUUAUUGUCAUGCAUUCAAUAGAAUACACUUUGGCAAACAAACAAAAAGAAAAACAAACUGGAACUAUGUGAAAAGUCUCUGAAAGUGUACCCUAUGGGAGCAAAUCUCAAUCCAUGGUAUACAAGUUGUGUAAUUGCUAUCCGACUACGAUGAACAGGCAUAGAAUCAGCGAGAAGAUGAUUAAGACUUAUGAUCACUACCUAAGCCAAAAUGUAAUCCAAAGUUUUCUGGAACAAGUUAUUAGUGAUCUUAUCCAAGAGUGCGGUUGUCUGAAUCGGCUUGAGGAAUGACGUUAAAGUGCUACUAAUUCAUGCCCUAUGUGCUACACAAAAUAAGGAUGAUUAACUUGUGGAUGUUGAAUAAGCUUGAUUUUCUAAAGGAUUUAGGAAAGAGUUUAGGAUAAGGAAAGUUUCUAUCUAGGAGUUAUCUAGAAAGUUCUUAGGAGUUAUCUAAGAAUGUUAAGUGUUUAUCCAUUAGGAUUAGGAUGUGUUUAUCUCCUCUCUAUAUAAGAGAUACCAAAGCUGUGGUAAUCUUUAUGUGUGUUUUGAGAGAGAUUAAGAACUUUAGGUUUUGAGUGAGUUUCCUAAGGAUUUAUAGAAGAAGAGCUUUUAUAUUCUUGAUCUAAACAUUCAUAUAUUCUAGAGUGGAUCGGCCACAAAUAUCACCGAAGACUGGUUUCGUAAACGAUAGUUCAAAAGCAAAAAUAAUUAUCUGGUUAUAAAGAAAAAUUAAGUUAUUAGUGAAUUGAUCUUCAGAGACAAACAACUUAUGGGUCUCAUAAAUGUCAUGGAUAUUAAUUCAAUAGGUUCUGUGUACUAAGCCUCUCCAAAGAAGCCACUGAAACGAAUGAUAUUAAGCAACCUAGUUAACGCCAGUCGAACCAAAUGAUGUAAACCCAUAUUAUUAGUAUACUAGAUAUAUGAUAUCUCGCGCGACCCGCGAGUUGUUAUAUUUGUUUUCUCAUAUAUACUUUCAACCUAUUAUUUAUGUUGUAACUUGUAUUUAUGUUUUAGUUUUUUCUAUUUUAAUGAUGAAAACAUUUAUUUUAUAAAUGUAACAGUCAUUCGGUAUUAUAUGCAAAUGCAAAAGAGACAAAUAUACUGUAGAAUUGUGUGGUAUGGUUAGAACAAAAAAAUACUAUUUAUUUUCAAAAAUAAAAUAUGUAUGAAUAAAUGAGCCACUUAUAAUGGCUUUAUGUUUGUGAAAAAAGAAAAUAGCACAUACAUACGUUAUUUAGUGUGAUAUAUACUUUGAUUGCAUCAACUGAAUGUGGUCUUUAAUUGUGUAGAUAAAUGUGGUCUUCUACAUUAGUGAUGACUUUUUAUCAUUUUUCUCUGUUUAUGUAUAUAAAAUAGUACAUUUCAAUCGUAAGUAAUACUAACAAAUAAGUGAUAUGAUAACUAUAUGGCAUUAUUGUUUUCAAAUUACAAAUUUGGAUCAGUUUUAAAAAAAUUAUUAAAGUUUCUUUUUUUAUUAAAUAAUGAUUUGGUGUAUGGAUUUCCAUUUUCUGAGUGUUGAAUAUGGUCAUUAAAAAUAGUAAAUUUUGAUCUUAAGAAAUAAAAAAAUAGUGAUAUGAUCAGUUUGCAAUUUAAAAAACAUUAUUAAAAAUUUAAGGCCUAAUAAAUACUCAAAAGAAAACAAAAUAAGAUUAUAGUUUCAAUUUGUUUUUUUUAACUUACAAAUGAAAUCACGUUAAUUCACAUUUAGUGAAUGUUAAAUAAAAGUUGAACUCCGAUUAUUUUCCAAAAAAAAUAGUGUUAGCUAUGUUCCAAAAAAAUAUGAUAAACCACAAGAAAUUAGCUAUUAACAAAACUAAAAGAUGAACAAUUACAAAAUAUAAUAUCGAUUACAAUAUUACAUACCAAACUUACAAAAAUAACAAAUGAAAAUAUAAAAUUAUUCAACAAAAAGACAAAAGUAAAAAAAAAAAAUUGUAAAAAUAGAAAACAUAAAGCUUAUAAUGAUUACAAAGUUUAAAAACACGUAUAAGAAUUACAAAAAUUAACAACUAAAAUACAGAAGAAGAAGAAAAAAUCGAUUGAAAACCAAAAUCACAUUUUUAUAUCGAUCUUUGAUUUCUCCUUUUUGGUCUUCAUCGCAGAUCCUACUUCUAUUUUUUUUAUUUUAUUCUCGCCAUUUUUAUGUAUAUGGUAAUAAACUAAUAGUAAUGAAAGACCAAUAUAUUUCUAUAUAUGAAGUAGUUUAAGACCAAAAACUAUAUGGAUUUGAAGCAUGAGGUUGUGAAAGAGGAAAACUUAUCUCUAUAUAUAUAAGAAAUAAUGAUUAACCUUUUAGUUCUUUUUUUUGUUUAACUUGUAAGUUACAUGUCAAUUAAGUGGUCAAUCAAUUGAGUUUAAUUGAGAUUUAAAAUGUAGGUAACAAAAUUAAAUUGUUAAAGAUUCUCAAUAAUCAUGAUGAUUAUUUGAUAAUGACAUGAUUUACUUGGUCUUUUAAUUGUGUACAUAAGAUAGAUUUAUUUAUUUAUAUUAUAUGAAAAUCUGUUUAGAUGUUAUUUAUCUGAUUCUUUAAAAUUUUAUAUGAAUAAUAAGUUUUGUAAGUGGAUGUGUGGAAUUAUGUUAAGCUUAGUUGGAUGAUUUAUUUGUUUUAAUUUAAUCUCAUAAGUAUUACAAAAAUAAAUUUGUUAGUGGAGGUGGUCAAAUAAUAGAUUAUAUCUUUACGUUUCUUACAAUAGUGAAUUAAUGCUAUUAGUCUUACUUAGUAUUAUUUGCUAUAUUGAUGGAUGAUUUUGUGAGUUAUGAAUUAAACAUUAAUGUUAUUAGUCUGAAUUAGUACUUGUUUGCUAUAUUGAUGGAUAAUUUUGUUAAUUAUAAUUUUUUUAAUUGUGUAAAUAAAUAUAUUUAUAAAUAUGAAUGCCAAGUGGUCCAAUAGGGAGAGAGUGAAACCCUUCUAAUAAAUAUAUUUAUAAAUAUGAAUAUCAAGUGCUCCAAUAGGAAGAGAGUAAAACCUUUUUUUUAUAUAUAUGAUUAGCAUUAACGCUAAUUAACAAGAACUUGAUUUUAUUCUCCACAAUGUCCUGUAGAAAAAAAAAUGUUGUUUAUAGAGAAAACGGUCAUCUAAGUAAACGUUUUUUAGCCAAAAAAGUAUAAACAUUUUAGUAAACACAAACUUAUGUUGAUUUGGACCAAUUUAUGUAUCACUUUUAUCAGUAUUAACUUUCACUAAAUUAAAACAACGUCGCUUAUUAUAAAAAAAAUAUUCAAAAUUUCCAAUUUUUGUUCCAAAUUCAUAAUUUCUCUAUUUUGAUUUCAACUCUCUUUUCCAAUUCGAUUUUGAUAAAUUCCUGUUUACUAAGGACAAGAAAAUUUUCCUUUUAAUUUAGAUCCAAAAAUAUUAUGUGUUUUUUUCAUGCUUAGUGACCAAAACUCGUUAGUUCACAUAUUCUUGGAACCUUAACAAUAUAUUGAAUAAAUCCUCCUCCUCUAUAUUAUGUUGGUAAGGCUGGAACGGAGCUGGAUAUCCGGACUUUUCAAAGUAUUUGGAUUCGGAUUCGCCAUAUAAUCAAUUUUACUAUCCGGAUCCGGAUCCGAAAACUCCGGAUAUCCAGAGACCAAAUAUUUACAGAUAUCCGAUCGGAUAUCCGGUUUCGUUGAUUUAAAAAAAAUCUUCAAUUUUUUAAAAUUAUAAUGAUAUAACAUAGAUAAUUAAAAUGUAUCAUCAUAACAAAAGUUACAAAUAGCAAAAAUUAAAAGGCAUUCAAGUAGCAUUCAAAUAGUACAAAGUUUAAAAGUUUACAUAGCAAAAGAGAAAAUAGUAAUAGAGAAGUUAAUUUAUUUUCAUGUUCAUGUGCUAUCCAUUUUCAUGUUUUUUUCUUACAAUCUGAAAUAGAAAAUUAUCAUGCAAUAUGAAUUUAAUUAUAUGUAAAGGAGUUAAACCAAAAACAAUUUUAAUUUUUAAAAAUGAAUAAAUAUUAUCAAAAAUAAUAUAUAUUUAACAAACGGAUAAUGGAUAACGAAUAUCCGGUUUCACAAUUUUCUAUUAUCUGGAUCCGUAUCUGAAAUAACCAAAUACUUAAUUUCACUAUCCGGAUCCGGAUCCGAACUACACAGAUAUUCAGUUUUUACGGAUCAGAUAGGACCAGAUACCGGAUCAGAAACCGGAUACCGGAUAAUAAUUUCAGACCUGUAAUGCGGGUUAAGAACUUUUUCUCCUUCCCCUUCUUUAAACUCCGACUAGAUUCUACCCCGUGCGUCCGCACAAGAAUUAUUUUUUUUUUAUGGAAUAUAAUUUUUGUUUUUAUUUUUUUUAUAUAAAUUUCUGAUAAUUGAUAAAAAAAAAUUAUGUUUAAAUAUAAUUUGAAUCUAUUGAUUUUUCAUUUCUAGUAUUAUAUAUUAACGCGAUUAGAAAAACAUUAUUGUAAUCCGUCUGUUCAUAUUAAGUUGAAAAUAUCACAAUUAAAAAAUAUUAUAAUAUGUUCAUUUAUAUUAAUCAAAAAAUUGAAAUUAAUAAAAUAUUUAACAUGUCCGUCCAUAUUAUUUGUAUAUUUUAAAUAUUUAAAAUUUAAACUUAUUUAAUAAAAAAUAUAAUCAUAUAUUAUUUUCAUUUCUGUCAUUGAAAAUAUUAUUUAAAUUUGAAUAUUUAAAAUAAAUCUAAAUUAAUAAUAUUUGGUAAUAUAUAAUCUAUAUUUAAGAAAAUCUAUAAUAAAUCUAAAUUAAAAACUAAAUUUUCAAAUUUAUAUUAAAAUUAAAAUUAAAAAUAUAUUAUUUUAUUAAUAUUACACUAAAUUAACUUAUUUAAUAUUUAUUAAUUAAAAUCAUAAUUAUUUGGCAACAAAAUAGUUAUCCAAAAACAGAAUAGUAUGAAAUUAAAUAAAAAUUCGAUUUGGACACAAAAUACCCUUUUCUUUUCAUAGUAUAGAUUUGAUUUGAAUGAGCGCUUUCCAUUUAUAUCACAGAAAAUAUAAAUAACUAAUUUCUCGCAUGUAAAUUUGGGGUUUAAUGGAGAAAAAAUAAGUAACUACUACUAUAGGGGUUUUGACAGACUAUCUUUUAUAUUUUCUUCUUUUUUUUUUUUUUUUUUUUUAUUGAAUUCUUCUUUUUUUUUGUUCAAAGGUUUUGAUAGACUAUCAUUCAAUUUAAAUACAGGGUAUGAUUUUCCAUCAGAUCAAACCUCGGUUAGGUUUAAUGAGGAGGUUAACAACUCGAGUUACUAGACCAUUUAUUGGGCUAUAAUAAUUUAGGCCCAUUAUUUUAAUUAUUUGUAUCCGCCCGCAGUGUAGUAAAUGAAUGAGGCUUUAUCAAGCUCGUAUCAGUACCUAGAAUAGAACUUCAAUUUUGUGGUUUUCUUACUAAUCACAUAAUUUUUAUGAACGCUUAUUUUUUAGCCAUUCAUCAUUCAUUUCACGUAAACAAAACCAACGAAAUAUACCACUUCCCAUGCUGCAAACUUUUUGUUUUUGUAGAGUUCUUCAUGUUACAAUUAUAUUAAAUUUUGUUUGUUCUUUCCAUUUUUACCUAAAUAAUUCACGUUUUGAAUAGUUAUCAAUCUAAAAACUAGUAUAGUAUAGACUUCAAUGUAUUGUGAAAUUUGAUCUCUUAUUGGUUUAUUCUGUGGUGACGGUGUGAUUGACUAUUUGAAACUAGAUCUCUAACGUUUAGCCUAUUCAAAUAAAUUCUAAAAUACUACAAAGUCAUCAGUCCUAUAACCAUCUAUACUCUACAGAGAGAAAUAUGUGCUUCAAAAAAUUUAAAUCAAUUGUUACAGUAACAGAAAAGUUGCAAUUGUUAAUGAAAUUUAGUUAUAUGGUUAGAAGUCAAACAUGAGUGAUUGGUUAUAGGUGAUUGAAAUUCCCAACGCUACUGCAUUUAGUAAUUAAUGGCAAAACGAACUAAUUAGGUUCUUGGGUAUUUAUAUGGUUUGAACAACAAAAAAAAAGGUUAUUGGGUAUUUAUCUUACAGCUAAUAUAGAUGUUACUGGUUGUUUCUUGAACAAAUGAUUAAAUAUGCAAACAAAUCAAGUUUAUGAGUUUGAUAAUUCUUUUGAUUUUAUAAAGAAAUUAUUAAUUUAUUGACACGAUGUAUCUAUGUUGUGCCAUGUAUACCUUGGACCACCACGAAGUCAGACAAGAUCGCCUUAAAAGCUGCAUGAACCAAAAUAGAAAGUAUAUCAUAAUAUUAAACUGCUAAUUAGUACUAGUAUAAACAAUCAAUAAAGUAAAGUUUAAUAUAAAUUCACUGGCUAAACAGAUCUAGGACCACAUCUUAAGAGCUAUCUAGAAAUCCACCUUCUUUUAGCUGGUCGUAUUUAGAAUCAUUACCUAUAACAAGAUACUUGUCGACAUAUUUAUGGAUACACGUGUCCUAAACUCAUUAUUGAAAUGUGUACUAUAACGUGUUAAUGACAAGAUUUGUUUAGUUGCUAACCAUGUGGUUAAAGCACCUAACCGCGAUAUGGAAUGCAGAGUGACAGGUUGGAGUUCGAAAGAGGGAAAGAUAAAGGAGAGAGACUUUAUAAUAAUGUAUGUAAAUGUUUAUAUGUGGAAAGCUGAAAGCAUAUGACUUCGAUGACGGGAGUAAUGUUUGAAAGAAAUUUAUUUUUAGGAUCAUAUAAUUAAUAGGUUUUUAGUCGUGAAGAUUGUGUAGUUGUGAUUCAAUCUUCCUUCUUUUUUCUUUUUUUUUGAAGUCUUCAUUAGAAUUGAGUUAUAACGGACCGGUCCAGUAGCCAACAAUCGAUAUCAUACGAAGCUAUGUUCUCGGUUAUGGAGAAAAUUAUCCGAUUUUGAACUUGAAUUUUGGUGGAAUGGCAAUAGAGAUGGAGCACCACUGGCUCACUUUUUCAUUUCCACUGUGAUUCAAUCUUACCUAAGUAAAUUCGUAAUUUUAGAUUCCAAAUAGAAACAAUGCAAUCAUUAUGGGAUCAAAUGUAGUAAUAGAUUUAUUUAUUAUUUCUUUACUAGCUUAAACUUUCAAAAUAUAAAGAGAGGGAAUUAAAUAUAUCUUAGAUUACUACAACAUAAAUUGAAGACAAUUGAACAUAAAACAUAUUGAUCAUCAUGUAAGAUGAAUAUCGGAUUUGAGGCAAGACUCAAUUACGUCAGUAGAGACUUCACGGCAAAUUCGGAGAAUUUGAACUUAGUAUACAUUUUAAAUAGUCUAUAAAAUGUCUUAGAUAUUAAUUCUUAAGAGAUUGAUAUUUACUUUUGAGAAUCGUGUUUGUUUUUCCUGUUUGGAUAAAUUAAUUGUUUGAUUUAAGAUUAUUUAUAGUUAUAUACCAUUAAAAUAUUCAAGUAACCAAUUUUGAAAAUUAAAAAGUUAGGGGUUUAAAUAUAUUUACUAAGAUAUAUUGUGCCAUAUGUAGAUGCAGUUAUAAUUGAUGCUAAUUGUGAUCAUCUGUUUUAAUCAAGAAUAUUUCUUAAGAGUAUUUACGUGAUGCACACAAUAAUCUAUCUUUUAGAAUAUGUUCCAUUAGUCAACUGUCAUUUUGAGACAAAAAAAAAGAUGGAUUAUGGAUACAAGGAAACAUGUAAACAACAGCGUGCAAUUGUCGGCGUAAUCUUGACAGUUUCUCUAUUAAUCUACUUGAAUUAUCUAUCUAACCAAAUCAAUCAAUGUGUUCAAUUGAUAAUUUGAUUAAAUAAAGUGAUUUGGAUCUGUGGAAAAAUAGUGGUUAAAGAAGAGACGCUUAAUGAUUGUGGAAAAAUAAAAUGGUUGAGUUAAAACGAAUUAAAUAAUAGUUAUGAUAGUGGUCAAUAAUAAAUAAUUUAUUACAAAAAUAAAAUAAAAUUCUAAAAUAUAUUUUUUUAAAAAUGGUAAAUUAGAUUUUUUAUCCUCAAAAAUGGUAAAUUUUCUGCAAAACAGAGAAAAUGUGAAGGUUUGGAAAACACAAUAAAAAUAUGUUUUUUGAAAAUUCGUCAAUGCUCAAGUCAGAAAACAGUUCAAAAGACCAACAAAUGGCUAAUCGGAGAGCAGAAAAAAAUCGAAAAACUACAGAAUGAGAGUGGGCUGAGAGUCAUUGAGAAAGGUAGGAACUACUCGAGCUUUUUGCAGUGAAUAAAGAAAAAAAAAUAGUUUAAGGAAAAAGGAGAAAUGGCUGAAAAGCCAUGAGACUUAUAAAAUCUGUAUCUCACCUGAAAAUCUAUAUGCCACCAAAAUGUGGAAAAAUUAAUUAUAUCCUUAAUGAAGGGAUCCACUUGUUUUCUCCAAUUUUAUUAAAUAAAGAUAUAUAACAAAAAAUCGAUUUUAUUGAAAAAAUUGAAAUUAACCCAACCCGACCCAGACCCCCAGCUCCCUGUCCCGACAUUCAAUUUCCCCGACCAUUCCGACGAGACAAGAACUGCAUUUGUAAUCGGAAUUGCAUGCGUCUUCGCCAAAAUUUCUUGUUUUUGUAUGCACAUUAGGUGGAUUAGGUGUUUGCAUUUGUAAUUUCUAUAUUCUAGUUAUUGAAUCGAAAAGAUUUGUAGUAGAUUAGAAGUCCCAUUAGAGAACUAGAACUCCGACGUCAACCAAAUCUGCAAAUCUAGUACAAUCGGUACAAACAGGUAUAAUUGAGAGGUAUUUGACAACUAGUACAGACGAGUACAACUGAUAUAAAGAGGGCAACAGGUACAAUUGAGAGUAAUUGUGUAAUUGCUGAAUGCAUAAUUUGUUUUCUAUAAACAGGAGAAAAUGAGGAUGAUGGAGCUCCUAAUACACAUAGCGAGCCGAUGGAGGAUGAUGUUGAUGCAGGUUUUCAUAAUGUAUCAGGAGGAGAUGGUAAUAGUUAUGGCGUAUAUUUGGCAUUGGCGUAUGUUUGGCAUUGAAUGAUAACAGUAUGUAUGACUAUGUUUAGUUAUCAUGUUCUGUUGAAAAAAGUCAGUUUCUUGUAGAAUGGGAAGAUGGUGCGGGUAUUGUAGAAAGUCAAGAGUUUAGUUCAAAAGUGGUACUGUAAAAUUUGGUUGAGAGAGCUGCACAUAACAUACAGUUUUUCUUUUUCUGCUGUUUGGUGUAAUUGUUAAUGGAGUAUUUUUAUUAUAAUUCGAGAAGACAAUAAACAUAGCCACACAGACAUACAUUUUGAUUAGCCUUACCGCCAAAUUACACUAAAAAAAUAGGGAAAAAAUAUUUUAAAAAUGGUUUACAUGCACUUUGAUUAGCCUUCCACGUCUCUAAUGUAUUUUUCUAUUCUUAAAAUACAAACAAUUCAGUUUGUAUUUGUAUAUAUAUUUAUAUUUUAUUUGGUACUACUGGAUUCCUAUGGUUCAACUACUUGUAAUCACCUUAAGAAAAAAUAAUAAUAAUAUAAUUAUAUUAUACAAAUAUGCAAAAAUAUGAAGAAAUCAUCCAUCUAAGAACUCUAAACACAUAUACAAGUAUAAGGAAACAAUUAAAAAUAUGAAUAACAAGAAUUCAACAUAUAUUCUUUAUUCAUGUUCACAUAAAACAACACCUUAUAGUAGAAGGAAGACUUUGGUAAUGUUUACCAUUUUAUGAUGAAAAAAACAAAAUACAUGAUUUUGCACGAUUUUUACUAUGAAAACCUUCUAAAUGACCAUUAAACCUUUAAAAUCAUGUAGACUACCACAAUGUAAUCAUUUAUAUAAAGGUACAACUAUAAAAACUCUAAAAUCAUGAAAAGUACACCUAUGAGGAAAAAUAGUACUACGAGACACGUUGGGACAACUACGUACAAAAUUGACGGCGCACAUGUUCAUUUAUGUCAGCACACGUGUACUCUUUUUAUUAAUUUUAAUUUAAUUUAUACUAGUUGUACCAAGUUGUCAUAGUUGUACAUAAAUCCAUUUUUACUUCAAAGUACCUAAAAUCAAAAACAAACUAAUAUUCAUAUAAUCCAAAGUAAAAGCAGUAUUUAUACCAAAAUACAUCAUAAAGACCCUACAUUGAAGAGUCUGUUUCAAGUUUUUUUUUCAUUAGCAUAAAACAAUGUAUUUGAGCUACCAUGAAAGCUAAACCGAGAAAAAUUGACAGGUUUUCAACGUAUAUCAUACAACAAGAAGAAGACUUAAUUUUUCUUUGCUGAUGCAUGAUCUUACCAGUUGUUCUUGUUCCAGUUGUCCGACACUCGUCUAUCUACGUUCUAAACCUCUUCUCCUUACUCCUCUCCUUCCUCCUUUACUUUCUCCUUUACUUCCUCCUUUCUACACUUUCUUCUGGGUUGUGCUUAUGUGGAUUCUUCUUCUUUUCUGGCUGUGGCAUUGACUGCUUCUUCUUUUAUGGUUGUGUUACAUGUCGCUUCUUAUUCUUCUCGGGAAUGGGAUUCGUUGGUGACUGUUUCUUCUGCCAUUAGAUUACCCUCUUAUGUUUCUUCUUCUCGGCAUGCGUUGCCGGUGGUUGCUUCUUCUUCUAUGGCUACGUUACACUCUUCUGUCGCUGCUUUUUUUUCUCGGCAUGUGUCGGUGACGGGUGACGAGUGUUUCUAGGAUGACUUCUGUCGACUUGUAAACAACAUUUCCUUUCUUAACCUUCACGCAUAAGGGGAACGACGGGCAGUGAGCAAGAUGAUACAUCACAGAAUUAAAAAGGGAUGGUGAUGAGCAAGAUGACACGAGGAACUGCGUUGAGCAAGACGAGACGAAAAAGAAUCGAAAGGAAGAUGAAGGAUUGUGAAAUGGGAUGGGACUUGAGUGCCAUGAACGGAAACAAUUUCGGUGAGACUCUGGGCAUACGUAGUUAGGUACAACUAGGUACAACUUGGUACAACAAGGUACGAUUUGGGAUUUAACUGCUACCUUAACCGUAUUUAGGAUAAAUCGAAUAUCUGGGUUGCUAGUCAGGUCAUCGGGUGGGUAUUUGGGUCAUACCGUUUGGAUGGGUAAAAGGUAGGUUUUUUUGUAAUUCUUUUAAAGUCUGAGGAGUGUUAAGGUUUUUGUUUUCAGUUUUUCCAUCUAUUUUCAAACUAAAAGAAAAUGAAAAGAAAUUAUUUAUUAUAACAGUAGCAUACGAGAUCAAUUUUUGAGAGAUUGUGCCUUUCUAGCCAUUUCCCCGAGGAAAAAUGAAGUGGAGUGACCGAAAAUGUGGUCGAAAAAGUGUUGAGUGCCUGGACUCAAGAACCACAAGUAUCUAGAGAGAUAUCGUGAGACCUAAGAUGGUUAAAGAUGUGUACGUCUUUCCUGUGGGAAAGAGUAAAGUAUUUAUAUAAAGUACUUGAUCCGGGCUAGUAUAUCGGAUUGACUCACGGAUAAUGAUUCGGGUGAAUCGGUCCAUGAGCCGAGUUGACUGGGUUCGAAUCUUGUGAUGGUGUCAUGCUUCUGACGGUCUCACCAACUAUCUUUGGCGUGUUCUGCCUGCUGCGAGACCGUUUAUUUGCGCAUCCCUUUUGUCUUUAGUGUACGAGUCAGAUCGGCGGUUUAGACGAGGUAUAGGGCUUUGCUGAACCUCUGAUUUUCCUCUUGGCUCCUGCGAAAAGUUACUGUCAUGUGACACACAUAAGGUAGAUGCAUUAAAUGCCAAUCUCAUGGGUUUGUAAUGGUAUGGAUAACCAAAUCAGAGUAAGGCAUAUUCUUUCUACGGAAUGGAGGAAAUUUUGAAUAGUGUUCCCGCCUAAAAAGUCUAUUUAUACCUGGUCCGGUUCCCUCGAUAUUGGGACCGGGCUGUCGAGAAUGGAUGACUUUGCUUUCCGUGUAUCUGUACGACCAUACUUUUUAUAUCUCAAACCCUUCUAGAUCACUCAGCUUAAAUUAAGGACAUAGAGAAUGUGGUCUCUCAUCUUCUUGACCAUUCAGUUUCCAACUUCUUUGUUACACGAAGAGUUUGAAAACAGGUGGUUUUUUUGUAUCAGAUCUCCCGAAUCCAAAUGAAUUCGAGCUCUGGUGCUAAAAGCUUAGAUCUAAUAUAUGUCCUAAUUUAAUCUAGGAAUACCAUACCUGCAAAAAAUCAAGCACAGCAUUCAUCUACAUAGGAAAAAUUGAAUUGAUCUCAUAUACAUUUAUCUAUUUUUGAACGAUUUAUAACCACUUCAUAUUAUAUUUUAACUGCAUUUUUCAAUUACCUAUUUGAAUUAUCCAUUUCAAGUGGCCAUUUCUAUUGUCCAUUUCAUCAAUUUGUUCUACUAAUAACCGAAUUAGCAAUUUAACCUCCAACCAUUUUAGACUACUUACCAAUUAAAACUAGUAUAUUAGUCUUAGUAUGUUAGUCUCAUCAACUAUGUUUAUGGAUUUCACCUAUUAUAUUUAAAUUUCUAAUCAAUUAAUAUGAUUUUACGAGAUUAUGCAGUCUUUGCGUGAUUAAUCUCACUCUAUAAAUUUACCUUUGAUUAUCCUAUCAUGCCGAAUAAGGGUACUUAAUAAAGCUUGUAUUAGAACUUUUGAUUUUAUGAAUCAAAAACAGAGUUUGUAAUACUAAAAUGGUAACCAAUUAAGAAAUUUUCUUAUUACUUUUUUUUUAUAGUAUCGGUUCGAUUGUUAAUUGAGGUUUUACUCCAUCACCUCUUAAAAUCGAACUCAAAUUAAGGAGUAUGAAUUAUAUUUUAGUCAAACAUUGAUUUUUGGUCAGAUAAAGUAAAAUGAACUUUUUAUAUAUAGUAAUUUAACUGAACGAGCUGACGAUACUUCUUUUAAUUUUUGUUGCCAACUCUUUGUAUAAAUUUGUGUAAUUUAUGAACGCUUGUUGACUUAUUGUAAAUAGAACUUGCUGAUACUUUGUGUAUAUUCAUAGUAACAUAAGUUUGUCAUGGCUUAACGAGUAAGAAAAUGUCUCGAAAUAGAAUAGGUGAAAUCAAUUUUGCCUAAAGAACAACUAAAGCGUGCAAAAAGUAAUCAGCUUUUAGCGUUUAAAAAUGAAAAAGAAGCUAACCAUGAUUUUAUCUUUAUAUCAUUUUUAACUUCUAGAACAAAUUAUCAUCAACAUUUUGCCUCUUUUGUUUUACGUUCAUACAGACAACAAAUUUAUAUUAUAUCAACACUAUUCGAUAAAAUUAUAUAUUUUAAUAAUUUGAAGUCGUGCAAUUUUUUUCUACUAUUGUUUUUGGUUUCCUUACCCUAAUACAAACGUCUACAUGUGGUCUAAAAAAAAAUCCAUCUGAAAAUUUUGGAACACAUAUAUUACCAGAAAAUCAUGAUUCAGGUCUAGGUUUUUAAUUUUUUUCAUUAAUGACGGUAUUUACAGAUAACAUAUUUCAAUUUUCCUAGUUGAUGAGGUUUAAUAAUAGUCUGAAAAUUCGAUAUUAAGUUUUUUUGCCAAAAAAAAACUCGGUAAUAAGGUGAUUCGUAUGAAUAAUGAAUAUGCAUAUACUACUAUUCGACAUGGUGCAUAUAUUUAUAUUUUAUCUUUUAAUUAUACAAUACAAAUUAUUUCCCAAAUGAGUAUAAAAAAAACUAAUAAACGAAAAAUAACUGUUUCAAAGCAUUUAAGAAAUGAGUAUUACAUAGUUCCAAAAUAUUAUCAUAUUUUAUUAUCAUAUUUUUCUUUUCAUCUAUGUCCUUUUUCCUUUUUUUUUCAUCUAUGCCAUUUUUCCUCUGACAUACAAAACGUGGAUUAUCGGCAUCACGACCCGGGUCAUUGACACGUGUCCUUAUCGGAAUAACCCCAAUUAGGGCAAAACGUUGAAAGUUGAAACUCACAUGCUUUCGUCGUUCGACUCAUUUCUCAAUUGGGGAAUCUCUAAAGGCAUACGUAAACCAUUUCUUUUAAACUUUCCCGAUUCAUAAUCCAACCAAAUUCAAUUAAUUUGGUAAAGAUUCUCAUCAGAGACGCAACGUUUUUAAUACUAUUAGUUCUUCAUCUUAAUACAAAAAAAACAAAAAACAAAAUCAAAUUAAGGUAACCGAUAUUAUUGAUAAGUUUUGCCUGUUUAUCUCUAAUUAAUAAUUAGCCAUUCUUGCUUUUCUAGUUGUAAUGAGUAUACAAUUAGCCAUUCUUGUUGCAUGUAUAACUAACGAACACGUCAUUUUUGCAGUUAAGAUAUAUGAAUGAGUCAUGUAAUUUUCAUGUCUUUUCUAAAUUAUAUCUUGUAGUCCAUAUCUUAAACCAGCUAUUUAAUGUGUUCCUAAGUUUUAGUUAUCGUAAUGUAGAACUCGUAGCUUCUAAGAAUAAUCAUGCUUAAGAAAAAAAAUGCAAUAUAUUUUAUUAAAUUGUCAGAAAAUAAUUGGAAUGAAAAAAGAGGAAACAAUAUGCAGUGAUUAAAGUUGUCGGUUGAACCGGUAAAAAAUUUCUAAUCUUUCCAAAACAAUAUACCAAACCGAAUUUCUGACCUUAAGGAAAAAAGAAAAUAAAUACGUACAUGGCGGCUAUUGCUAAAACCGACGUGAUUGGUCAAGAGAAAGUGCUCGAACUAAAGAUCAGAACCACGUGCACGAAUGGGAGAGGAGGUCUAACUGCGAAUCCGUGGAAUCGAGACACGUGGUCAAAUCCAUGUGCAUUCCUUAUCAUCCUUUCCCUUUCAUUGGCGUGGAGCGAUCGAGUACCAAAAGAAGUCAAGAAUAUUAUUGAUUUUUUAAUAAAUAAAUUCUAUUAAAUAUUAGAUUGUUUCUUGUUUUAAUAGAUAAAAUAACUUUAUUGAAGAUCUUUUCUUAUCAUUUGUUACAAUUAAUAUAGCCCAACGUUUUUGUAUGCGUUCUUAGUUCUCAACUUCUCAUGAUCUUUUUUAAUAUUAUUUCAAUUCAAUAGUUGACAAAGUUUUGAUAAAUGCUUCAAAUGACACAGCUUGGUUGGAAAAAAACACCCAACGACAAAUUGACCGGCAAACAUAUAUAAGGCGAAAGAAAGCUGAUGAUAAACGAUAGAAUGUCAUGUGACACCAACCAAAUGAGAAAAAACAUGCUACGUAAAGUUAUUAAUUAAUCAAAGCUCUAAUUUAUAACAUUCAAAAUAGCAUAACGUUUAAAACUUAAAGUACUAACAGAAUGAUUUAAAAGCUUGACUAAAAUGCUAACAUAUUACAUAUAGUACUUUUAUAUAUUUAAAUGUUACAAAUCAUUGAAUGAACGAAUAUAAACCGUAAUUGGCACCAAAAAAAAAGUCAUUGGUGAAAAUAUGCGGAUUUUUCGAAAAUUAAUACUCCCUCCGUUUCACAAAGAGUGUCGUUUUAAGGUUUUAUUUUUGUUUCACAAAGAGUGUCGUUUUAUAUUUUCAAUGCAGAAUUUUAAACAAUAUUCCAGUUUUGACCCUAUUGAUUUAAUAUUAGAGAAAAAUGUUAUUUAAUGCAUUAAUAAAAGGCAAAGUAAUAUUUUUAAUAGUUUUCUUAAUAAGUGUGAAAAAUGUUAGAAUGAUAAUUUUUGUGAAACGGAGGGAGUAAUUAUACAUUUUAUAUUUAUGUUACAAAUUUUAUAUUUAAUUCUUCAAAUCUUUUAAUAUUUGUAUAUGGAUUUCAUCAUAGCAAAACAUAUGAACACAUGAAAAAACCCUUAAUUAAUAUCACAUAACACGUGAAAACAUGUGGAUCUUUUAUGCACUUGUUGCUUUGUUAGUAUGUUUUUCCUUCUCUUUUGGAAGUAAUUUCUCCUCUUUUCAUUGAUGUUGAGACCGUUUAAUUUAAUGAGAGAAUCAGAUGUUGACCCCAAAAAGAAUCUCACAGAGCAAGUGAGAGAAAGAAAAAAAACUUUCACAAAGAAAUUAUAACGAACUCUAUCGAUACAAUUAUAUGUAUUUUGUUGUAUAUGAAUUUUGUCACACAAGUGUUUUGUAGCAAUUUUGUCACACAAGUAUUUUCGUACAUUUUCUAUAUAAAAGUGUUUUUUUACCGGAUAAGUGUUGUGUAUCUUGAUAAAGUUUUCCUUCAAAUUGAAGGAAAGAAGAGUUACUGAAAACUCUUUCACCUCGACUAAGAUAGCGAUAAUACAGACCUAAUUAAUUAAAUAACUUUGAGCAUUUUUUUCCUUACAUAGAAAUUUUGUUAUGCAGAAGUGUUUUGUUAUGGAGAGUGGAAGUGAGAAAAGUGUAACAGAAUAGAGACAAAUCAAGUCCAAAAGCAGGCACACAUCUAAGAAGAAAGAGGAGACAAAGGCAUGACAACAGUUAUGAUUCCUUUGUUCUUUUCUAUUCGAAUAUUCCUCCACACCCCCCCCCCCCCAAAACGCUCGUCUUCUUCGCGUUUUAUUUGACACGUUUCAUUAUAUGAUUUUUUAUAUAUAUAUAGUAAUAAAAUCUAUGCGUUUGAUACAAACUAAAGUACAUACAUUAAUGAUCUUUACACUUCUUUACCUUUAUUUACUUAAUCAUUAAUUUUUUAGAAAAAAUGUAUAUUGAAAAUUAAACAUAUAAUAUGAAACUGAAUACCAUUCUACUAAUUAGUAGUAAUUUGAUUUGGUUCAAAAGUAACGGAUAAAACAAGUUGAAUAGUGUUAUAAACAAAUGGACUUCUAGUAACCGGCCAUGAGACAUUAACCUGAUGGUUAAUGGGCCCAUUAGGGUUUCUGAUACAUUAGUUAUGUAAUGUAUAUAUACACUGCUUAUGGAAACCAUAAGAUGAGAGUUUUUUCCCUUAAUACGUUAUCAGCACGAAGCUCAACUUCAAACGAUCAUAUCUCUCAAAAUACAAAGAGUUAGAAGGCGAUCUACAUAUCAUUUUGAAGCCCUGGAAGAGAAGAAUCUAGUGGUGAAAACCGCUCCUCAAUCCGACACCAGACGCGCCCUCACGACUCAAAACAAUCGGCGCUGUCCCACCUUAGCGGGUGAUUCUUUCCAAGCGGUGGUUCCUCCAUUGUAGCAGCUGCUCGUCCUCCCUUCUGGCCAUCAUUCUCAGGAGUUUCCAGUAGAUAUCUGUGGUCUUUAGCUCCCAGAUCAUAAGCCGGUCAGAAAUCCAUUUGGCGAAAAGAUAUGCAAGACAAUAUGGAUAUCAUUGUGGAUAGUGGAUCGAGCCACACCAUUCUAAAAGACAAGAAUUACAUCAUAAAUUUAGUAAUCAAAACCGCAAACAUUAGCACUAUAGCGGGUAGUUCGAGCCUAAUAGAGGGCCAUGGCCAAGCUAAUGUGUUGUUAUCAAAUGGCACAUAUCUAGACAUCUCUGAUGCCUUAUACUCACCCAGUUCUAAGAGAAACCUAUUGAGUUUCAAAGACAUAAGAUUGAAUGGUUUCCAUAUCGAAACUCAGGAUGAAGGGAACAAAGAGUUUUUAAUUAUCACUAAAAUGAUAAAUGGCCAUAAACAAGUUUUUGAAACUAUACCCGCCGUAUCUACUGGCAUUUACCAUGCUAAAGUCAGUAUGAUUGAGGCUAAUGCUGCUAUCAAAGCACGGUUUUUAGAUUACACUAUUUGGCAUGAUCGCCUGGGUCAUCCCGGUGCGAACAUGAUGCGUAAAUUAGUCCAGAAUUCUAAAGGGCACAGCCUUAAACCAAAUGGUAUUUUCCCUCAGCACCUCAAGUGCACAGCUUGCUCAAAAGGGAAACUGAUUACCCGACCUUCACCAGUCAAAGUGUCUAAAGAGACCUUGAACUUUCUGGAAAGAAUCCAAGGAGACAUAUGUGGACCAAUUCACCCACCUUGUGGGACAUUCAGAUAUUUCAUGGUCCUCAUUGACGCAUCGACCCGCUGGUCGCAUGUCUGUCUGCUCUCUUCUAGGAACCAGGCUUUUGCUAGGUUAUUGGCCCAAAUCAUCAGAUUACGAGCACAUUUUCCAGACUUCCCAUUAAAGACUAUACGUCUUGAUAAUGCUGGUGAAUUCACUUCCCAAGCGUUUAAUGAAUAUUGUAUGUCCAUGGGGGUAAAUGUUGAACAUCCCGUUCCACAUGUCCAUACACAAAAUGGAUUAGCUGAAUCCUUCAUUAAACGAAUUCAAUGGGUUGCUAGACCAUUACUCAUGAGGUCACAACUCCCGGUCUCAGCUUGGGGACACGCAGUCUUACAUGCCGCUGAACUAAUACACAUACGACCAUCUAGUGAGCACAAAUAUUCACCAUCCUAAUUGCUAACGGGUCAUGAGCCAGACGUCUCCCAUAUUAAAACAUUUGGGUGUUCAGUCUAUGUACCCAUUGCACCACCACAGAGGACUAAAAUGGGACCUCAAAGGAGGAUGGGAAUAUAUGUUGGUUUUGAUUCUCCCACCAUCAUAAAAUAUCUCGAGCCAACUACAGGAGAUCUGUUUAAAGCCAGAUAUGCAGAUUGCCGAUUUGAUGAAUCGGUAUAUCCUAGAUUAGGUGGUGAGACAGACAAGCUGGUAAAAGAACUUUCAUGGAAUCAAACAUCCACACAAUGGCAAGAUCCUCGGACUCUAGAAUGUGAUUCAGAGGUCCAAAGAAUUAUACAUUUACAAAAGCUAGCUAAUCAAUUGCCAGAUUCCUUUGCUGACCCGAACAAAGUUACCAAAUCGUACAUACCAGCUUGUAAUGCACCAGUACGAAUAGAUGUCCCCUCAGGAAAAAGUCAAGUUGCUACAGAGUCUGACGCGCGUAAGAAACAUGGCAGACCACCAGGUUCCAAAGAUAAGAAUCCCCGGAAAUCAAAGAAAGGUGCAAUGAUUGAAACCGGGAUUCAAGAGAACACGGAUACAGCCUCAGCUGAUACUUACCCUAUCGAACCAUCCCAAGAGGUUUGGGACGCCAAAACUCAAGGUUCUGAAGGGAUUGAUAAUAAUGAGAUCUCAAUCAAUUAUAUCAUAUUUGGUUCUCUAUGGAACAGAAAAGAUGUCGACAUCAAUGAAACUUUUGCAUACAAGGUAGCACUUGAGAUUGCGCACACGCAAGAGGAUCUAGAACCCAUGUCUAUAAUUGAGUGCACUCGUAGAUCAGAUUGGAUGAAAUGGAAAGAAGCCAUAAACGUGGAGUUGAAUAGUUUAAAGAAACGGAAUGUGUUUGGUCCGAUCUUAAGGACACCAUUCGAUGUUAAACCAGUGGGAAACAAAUGGGUCUUUGUGCGUAAAAGAAACGAACUCGGCGAAGUCGUUAGAUACAAGGCACGCCUUGUAGCACAAGGAUUCUCACAGAGACCCGGAAUCGAUUAUGAGGAGACUUAUUCUCCAGUGGUGGAUGCAACUACAUUUCGAUUCCUCAUAAGUCUGGCCAUAAGAGAAAACUUAGAUUUGCGGUUAAUGGAUGUUGUAACCGCAUAUCUUUAUGGACCACUGGACAGUGAAAUCUAUAUGAGAUUACCAGAUGGUAUUGAGCUCAAAGAUAAGCAUGCAUCUCGUGAUAAACACUGCAUUAGGCUGAACAAAUCCUUAUAUGGACUGAAACAAAGCGGACGUAUGUGGUAUAACCGGUUAAGCGAAUAUCUCAUCAGAGAAGGCUACGAAAAUGAUCCGAUCAGUCCAUGCAUCUUCAUCAGAAAAUAUCAAAACAAAGGAUUUGUAAUCAUAGCAGUAUACGUGGAUGACUUGAACAUCCUCGGAACAUCUGGUGAAAUCGCCCAAACAGUUGAAUGCUUAAAAGCAGAGUUUGAAAUGAAAGACCUAGGCAAAACUAAAUUCUGUUUGGGAUUACAACUUGAGUACGUCAAUGACGGAAUCCUUGUGCAUCAAUUGGCAUACACUGAAAAGGUACUCAAGAGAUUCAAUAUGGACCAGGCCCACCCAUUGACCAGCCCAAUGGUUGUGAGGAGCCUUGGAUUGGAUAGUGAUCCAUACGGUCCAAAGAAAGACGAUGAAGAAAUCCUCGGUCCUGAAAUGCCAUACCUCAGUGCCAUAGGAGCAUUAAUGUACUUGGCUAGUUACACUAGACCAGACAUCUGCUUUGCCGUGAGCCUCUUAGCUCGCUUUAGUUCGUGUCCAACUCAAAGGCACUGGAACGGUAUUAAGCACAUCCUUAGAUACCUUCAAGGUACUAAGGACUUGGGAUUAUUUUAUUUUAACCAUAACAAGGAUGGUCUAGUUGGUUUUGCUGAUGCAGGAUAUUUGUCAGAUCCGCACUGUGCCCGGUCUCAAACCGGUUAUGUUUUCACGCAUGGAGGAACAGCCAUAUCUUGGAGAUCCAUGAAGCAGACUAUUGCCGCUACCUCAUCCAACCAUGCGGAAAUCUUGGCCAUUCACGAAGCUAGUAGAGAGUGUGUUUGGUUGCGGUCCAUGACUCAGCAUAUCCGAUCAGAUUGUGGUAUGGACGAAGAUAAGGAGCCUAUGGUGAUGUAUGAAGACAAUGCAGCUUGUAUCGCUCAACUCAAGGACGGCUACAUCAAAGGUGACCGGACGAAGCAUAUUCUGCCCAAAAUCUUCUUCACUCAUGAGCUACAGAAGGAUGGUCAGGUCAAGGUUCAGCAAGUCCGAUCAAGCGAAAAUUCAGCCGAUCUAUUCACUAAAUCAUUACCGACUUCUACACUCCGGAAGCUCAUUCAUCAGAUAGGAAUGCGUAGACUUAGAGAUCUACAGUGAUGCCUAAACCAGGGGGAGUAAUGCGUGUUGUACUCUUUUUCUUUCACCAUGGUUUUUCCAACUGAGUUUUCCUGGUAAGGUUUUAAUGAGGCAACGUUCCCCAUUGCAUUAUAGAGAUCCCGGUUUUGUGACAGGCAAGGUUACCUUGUCCAAGGGGGAGUGUUAUAAACAAAUGGACUUCUAGUAACCGGCCCAUUAACCAUCAGGUUAAUGUCUCAUGGCCCAUUAGGGUUUCUGAUACAUUAGUUAUGUAAUGUAUAUAUACACUGCUUAUGGAAACCAUAAGAUGAGAGUUUUUUCCCUUAAUAAGUAGUAAUUUUUAUCUGUUAAUAUUUGUUAUUUUUUUGUAUUGUUGGAGGUGAAAACCCCACCCCGGUUUUCUCCGGUACAAACCGAGAUCGGCGUAACGUAAGCCCGGUUCACGAAGGAAUGUACCGGGAAAACUGGGCCAAGUAAAGUCUUGGGCCGAACGCAGCCCAUUAGGCCGAGGUCGGCGAGAAGCUUCUCGAAGGAACCGAGAAGUUCCCCGAGUUCGGUCGAGAAUAAGAAAGUUUCCCAAUGAAAAAAGGAAACUACUAUGAGAAAAGGAAAAUGACCUAGAGAAAAGGAAAGUCCUCUCGGUCCCAUAUCGCCGAAGAUGUACUUGGUGACCGACUCAGAAUAUAUAUAUAAAGGAAGAUGAAUCGACACCAGAAGGACACAAGAUAUUCCAGAGAAGACUUAGAGACUGAGAACUCAUCACUUUAGAUUCUUAGUUUCAUAAAGUCUUAGUUCGUUAUUCUCUGCGUAAUAACCGAACUCAGUUGUAUUUUUUCGAUUCAAUCUAAUAAAACCCGAGUUAACCGAUCUAAAAUACUGUUUUGUCCUUUGUCGAUAUUCACUUAUCAACAUGUAUUAUAUAUACAUAGAUAUAUUUAAGCAUUUUUGCAUAUAGUUAAAUUAUAUUCUUUUAAUCUACUUUGCGAACGUCAGAUAAUGGCUUUUCUAAGGCUGAUAUUAAACGAGUACUUUCAAAUUUUUUUUUUUUUUAUUAUAUUGAAAUUUUUCGGACCGAAAUCAAACCAACUUUUGAGACAUUUCUGAUUGUCAACCAUCUAAUAACAUUCAAACUCUAAUCUAGUUUCCUAUCAAGAAUCUUCAAAUCUCUGAACAACCAUUGCUUAUUAAAAACAAUUAUGUUGAUACUUACAAAAAUAGUUUCUUUUUUCCAAGAUACUAAAAAAAGUUAUAACUAACACAUUGCUUCCAAACCUCAAAGUUCUUUGACCAUACAUUAUCUUUGAGAGAUGGACAUGUUAUUCUCCUAGUUUAGAGAUUCAAAAUUUUACAGAGUCCAAAUCUACAAGCAAUUAAAACUUCAAAUAACCCCUCAAAUUAAACGACGAUAAUUAUCAACCAAUGAGUUUAAACAAAUAUAAUACUAUGUUGAAACUGACCUCCAGACUCCAUUCUACACAUUCUAAGUCCUCAAAACAAUCUUUAUUUUUCUACAAUAUACCGAUCCCAAGACUGUCAGUCUUCGGCCUUUGUUUACAUUGGAUAAGUAAAUACUAAAGCCUAUCUGAAAUUUUUUUAAAAAAAUUCACUAUCUAAUUAAUUUGGAUUAAGCAAAUUUAUAUCGACAAAAUUAAUAUUUUUUAAGAAAAAGACAUGUUUUUCAUAUUCAUGAUAUAUAUUUUUUUUUUUUACCGAAUUUGAAUUUGAACUAAUAUCAUAUGCAUGUAUGUUUGGGGUUUUGUUAAAGUUAUCUCGUAAUUAGUAAACUAAUAGUUUGAAAUUAAGAGUGAGUAAAAAAGUAUUAAUAUACUGGAGAGGAGAUGAGAUAUGAAAGUAAAAGUAAACAACCUUUUGAAAGACAAGUCACUAGUGUUUUCUCUUACAGUUUGUUGCUGAGACUUAUCCAUAUGAUAUGUUGAUAACGACUUCUUCUAAUCCUCUCAUCACACGUAAAACCUUUAUCGCAUGUAAUAUACAUUCAAAAUUAUUUAAAAUUGGAAAAAAAAACAUAUGAAUUUAGAUGAACUAGCUGAAUUACUAUAUAUGCCAUAAUACAAAGUAGUAGUACCUUAACAAUAAUUAGGUGAGUCUUAGUUCCAAUUGACCCAACAUCGACUAAUUUAAAAUGCAACGUAUUUGGUUCAAAAAAAAGUUACGUAUUUUAGUCUUUUUUAUUAGAAAAAGAAUACAUUUUUAAAAAAAUUCUGAUUAGUAUUUUAAAGUAUAUGUCUUGAUCUACUUACGAAAUUAGAAACAAAGAUUUUUUAAUUUUUUGUUGGGAUUAAAAUUAGAGAGAAAGUUAUGGUCUUAUUAAUUCUAACUGGGAGUUAUUGAUUUUAGUCUUUCUUUAUUAUGCUUUCACAUGUGUUCGAUGAAAUGAUAUUUGUCAAGUUAACAAAGUCAUGUCUUCACAACAUGAAACAAUAUUAAAGAUAGUGAUGUAUAUGUUUUCAUCUUUUCCCAUUGCAACAAUAUAUUAAAUAUGACUUUAAAAAUUAGGAUGUGUUAAUAUCCAAAGUUGCAAUUAUGUAAUAUCAAGGAAUCAUAAAGCCCAAACCCAAAAAUAAAUAAAUUUAAUCAAGCCAUCCCUUGACACCUACUCCUCCUUUAUAAAUGAUAAGUCCUCUGCUUCUCCCAACACAUCUUUUCCUCAUUGCAGAAAAAAAGUGAGACAAACAAAAAACAUUAAUCUUCAAUCUAAGAGAGAGAGAAGAAGAAGAUUUAGAGAGAGAACAAGAAACAUGAAUAACCAGAAUGUAAACGAUCAUAAUCUCCUCAUCAUUUCUCAGAUGUAUCCUAGUGUCUAUACUUCAUCAGUACCACAACAAGGUUUGCCCAUUCUAAAGUUUCAAUCUUUUUCAUUUCUUUUUAAGAACUAGAAGGAAAAAUAAUACCCAAAAUUGGUUAUACAAAUAUCUUCAAGUGGGUCUUCUUUAUUUUUGUUGAUAAUAAGUUUGCCUUAUUUUAGUCUUUUUCACAAACGUGCAUGGUACUAAUUAAGAAAGCUUAAAGAGUUAGACUUAAGUCAUUUUGGUAGGUUAAAAGUGUUAGUUUUGAUUGGUUUCAAUUUUGCCAGCAGGAGAAUCGAAACCAGUACGGCCUAGGAGGAGGAGGAAGAGCAAAAGUGUUGCAGCGACAGAAGGAGGUGGAGAUGGAAGCAAUGGGUGGUUUAGGAAGAGGAAAUUAAGUGAUGAGCAAGUGAGAUUCCUGGAGAUGAGUUUCGGAGAUGAGCAUAAGCUUGAAUCGGAGAGGAAAGAUCGUCUUGCUUCGGAAUUAGGGCUUGAUCCUCGUCAAGUCGCCGUAUGGUUCCAGAACCGCCGUGCACGGUGGAAGAACAAGAGUCUUGAAGACGAAUACACUAAACUCAAGAACGCACACGAAAACGUCGUCGUUGAGAAGUGUCGUCUGGAUUCUGAGGUGCGUGAUAGUCUCUCUCUUUCUAAAAAGAAUAAAUUAUCUGAUUAUAAUCUAUUAAUAUCUAUGACAUAUAUGUUUUAAGUUUGAACAAUGUUUUUUUUUUUUUUUGUGUACCAUCAACGUUUUAACAAUUUUUUCGCUGAUUAAAGAUAACGAUUACUCGGUUUUCUCUUUCAUUAAAAGAUUUGUAUACUUGUAAACAUGAAAUAUUAAAUGUUUAACUUGAAGAAAUUGGUUAUUCUCUCUCUCUCUCUCUCUCUCUCUCUCUCUCUCUCUCUCUCUCUCUUUCUAUAUAUAUAUAUAUGAAAAAGUUAUACUUUAUUAAUUUUAUAUACUUUCAAAAGACAAAGGAAAUACCAAGUGAAAUCAACAUACAUUAUAGGCAACUGAGGAAAAAACAACAAUAAUCGAAAUAUUGAAUUUAAACUUUUUAUGUCACCUCAAUAGCAUGAUUAAAAAGAAAUUAUAGUGUGAUUUGUAUUUGUUAUUAAAAAGACACAAACACAUAAAAAAAACCGCAAAAAACAAAAUGUCAAUGUGUGUAUAUGUAACUUAUCUUUCCGUACAAUCUUCAUUUGUUUUCUAGUGUUUACACUUGCCUCGUAGUCAUUGGGCCUAUAAUCACCAGACCCACAGAAUAAAACUCAUCAAAUCAAAGUCAUAAAACAGGAUUAGCUAUUAAUAGUAAAUAAAUUGAUUUAUUAAUCACAUCAAAUAUAAGUUUUAGAUUCUUAUUUUAACUUUUUUUCUAAUUUCAGGUUCUUCAUUUGAAAGAACAACUCCAUGAUGCUGAAAGAGAGAUUCAACGGUUGGCACAAAGAGUCGAAGGAGUUUCAAGCAACAGUCCAAUCUCAUCAUGUGUCUCUAUCGAAGCCAAUCAAACGACACCGUUUUUUGGAGAUUACGAAAUAGGAGACGACGGUGACGGUUAUGAAAAUUUGUUGUACUCGCCGGACUACAUUGAUGGAUUAGAAUGGAUGAGCCAAUUUAUGUGAAGACAAACUAGCUAGCUUAAUUAAUAAUAACGUUAUGAGUAUAUUGAUCGUAAAAUGUUAGGGCUAUUUGCGAUUACUAGAUUAUUCAUAUGAUCGAUAUCUAUGAUGACGCAGAAUGUAGAUAGAACUAUGGGUCUAAUUCGCUUGUGUAAUAUUGUGGAUAUCUUUCUCCAAACAUUUGAUUGCUUAACCAGUUAGGUCUAAAGCAGCUUUACUUUGUUUGAUGUAAAGGUCAAGUUUGGACCCCAAAAGUAUUAAUUAAUCGUAAGUUGUUAAUUACAUGUAAAUUGUGAUUUGUCUUUCUAGGGUAUGCUGUUAUCCAUAAAACUAUUUAGCAUUAAUAUUGUCCCGGGCAAAUAUAAAAUAUUUGAAGAUAAAACCUUAGUAAAAUUUAUCCUCGAACUUUAUACUGUAUGUGAACAUGUGAUCAAACCACACACACACAUAUAUAUAUAUAUAUAUAGGCUAAACAAUAACAGAACAAAUCAUUAAUUAAGACAUACAAACUAAACUCUAAUUUAUUAUCCAGAGAAAAAUUACCAAUUAAAAAAGUCUAACCAACAAAGUAAAAAAAAAAAAUUGAAAAAAAAAUCUUCAUUAGAAGCAACAGACCACAACCAUUCAAAAACCCGUAUAACCACAUAUUUGACGAUGAAUGACGAAUAUUUUCUUCUUUUUUUCUAAGAGCUUUCCGUAAAACUAUUAUAGAUUAGUGAUAGAUUUAGCUAAGGAGUAAAGAUUGCGUUUUUCAUUAGUUUUAGUCACAUAAUUUCAAUGAACGAGAGGAUAUUUUUUUGCCGUGUGCAGUAAACAACUAUCAAUUGGCAAAUUUAUAUUUACAUAUCAUACGUUUUACUGUGAUAGUGUGAUACGUAUAAGAAACAGUGCGUGUACAAUCACUGAUUAGAAAUAUAGACCAGUAUUGGUUGUCAAAAACAACAACCAAAAAGUAUACGGACCAUUGGAAUCUAUAGCCUGAUAGAAACUAAAGCAUGUCUUCUGGUCAGAUUGGUAGGUACGUGUUUCUAUAUGGACUCUGGACAUAUAUUUUUAUUUUUGUAAAAUAAAGUACGUAAAUUGAUUCAAUCUAUAUAAAUUUUGGGUUUUCUUUAAGAACUUUUUAUCAUCAUCUAACACAUUUAGUGGAAUGGUAUAGUCAUAGAAAACAAACGGCUAAGGGUAUCGCACAUGAUAUACAAACACAAACAAAACGACGAUAAAACUUUAAAUCUAGGAGGAUAAGAUUUUGCCAAAAUCUUAAAAGAAAGUCGGAUAAAAUUUAACUCAAUUAGGUAACAAAAUAAAUGUGGGUUCACCUCAUGUGACAACAAAAUUGGAUAGCUUAUAACUGUAGGACGGUCCAAUAUUGAAUCUAACAAAAAUCUAGCAAUACAUAUCUUACCAUUAACAGUUUAUUAUUUGAAUCACAAAGAUUCAGAUAAUAUAGGAUGCCUGUCCACGUCUAGAAAGAUAAAUUUUCUAUUAUAAAACUCUUAACCUUAAGAAACAAUAGGUUUGUGGGGAACAAUUUGCAGGCUAAUGGUCCCAUCUCUCUUAUCUCUUGACCAAAUCAGUUUUGAAGCUAUUCGUUGUCUCUCAAGUAUAAGAGUUAAAUGGUCACAUAAAGUUCAGAUUCUGUCAAACCACUAAGAUACUGACAAAUACAUUUGUAUAUAUGGAGAGGUGUGUUAUGUGCGUAUAGUUUAUGUGUCCAUAAAUUGCAGUUUAUUCCGAACAAAAAGUGGUAUCGAGAAGUGAUAAAAAGAAUGCGAUUGGUGUAAAUUUAGUAAGUAGAGAUUAAAUUAAAGUUUAAAGAGGCAACAAGCGCAUGUGUACUUUUCAAAGUUGAAGUCAGAUACAUUAUAUGCAUUGGCGUAUAGAGUUGAUAUGUGUCAAGAUAUGAUGGAUUGAUGUGUUAAAAAGUUGGUCAUCUUUUUGUUAUUUAUAUGAUGUAAAUUUGAUUUUUUUUAUCCUAUACAUUUUAUAUAGUGCACUUUUGAAGCCGUAGAAAUGAAAAUGAAAACAUUACAAAUAUUUAAGUUUAUUUCAUUUAGUUUAAAUAUUUAGUUGUGUUCUUAGCUACGGGGUUCCACUUAAAUUUGUAAAUAAUAUAGUUUUUUUUUAGCAAAUUAAACUCAUGGUGAUGUUUUAUACAACAUAUUUAUUAGUUGGCAAUAACGCUUAUAUUCUUCUUCGAACAAAAAAAAAAACUCAUAUGCUCAAAAAGAUAAAACUCUCAAGAAGAAAAAGAUUCAAAUUCCAAAUGAAGACAAGAAAACUCUCAAGAAGACAAAAGCUCUCAAGAAGACAAAGAUUCAUGUUCCAAAAGAAGACAAUAAGAUAAGAUUAUCAAUUUAAUGAAAAUGGAGAAAGGACUCGUAAGAUUAUUGUCUUAAGUGAAGAUAAGAUAAUCAGUUAUGCUAAGACUACUCACUACAUGCAACACACACACACUCACACAACACUCCUUCAAAAGUAAUCCGAAAAAAUGUCGUUCUUGCAAGGCCCACCUUUAAUUCUUGUUCUUCCAAGUCUACGUUUGUUGUCCUGCAUUGCUUCCAUUUGCAGCAAAAUAAAUAUUUAUAUAUUGCCAGUGUCACCAGUUCGAAUGUAACCUUGAAUUGGAACAAUAUAGAGAAAAUUAGCAUUGUCCCUGUGUAACUUUCCAAAUUGAAUUCUUCAUGUCCUUCAUCUGAAUUUGGAUUUCUAGAGAGUUUUUUUCCGUUUUCUGGAACCAUAACUGAAUAUUUGGAUGAAGAUCUACGCGAGGGAGAAAAAAUCCAGAUUCUUAAGCCCUAGAUUUUUACCAAGAAACACGUUUUACAAUGUGUCAAGAGGUUUAUAAUAACAAUUUUCAGGCCCAAAAUCGUUAUACACGACCAUAAGAUACAAGUUUACAUUUCACACAAUUUUUAAAAUCAAAGAAACUUUCCACACAUUUGUCUCUUCCUAUAGCCGAGCUAAGAUCCUCUCAGUAAUCAAUCCUUCGUAGAGGAGAAGGUCCAUUGUUUUAUAUAGGAAUCCGAGAAGCCUCGCUAGUUAUAUAAUGGGCUUAUUAUUUAGUUCACCAAAAAGGCCCAAUUUUUGCUGUUCUCAAAUUUUUUUUUAUAGCACAUCGUUUAUAAGAUCAGUGAAACAAACGUUUAUAUAUCGCAAGAGUCAACAAUAUGAUUGUCCCUUCGGGACAUCCGAUAAAAUUGGAACGAUACAGAGAAAAUUAGUAUGGCCCCUGCGCAAGGAUGACUCGCACAAAUCGAGAAAUGGUAAAAAAAAAGCACUUCAAAAACUCAAUUUCUAAUGAUAAUAUAUUGAAAACAUAGUGUAGUAGUAUAUCAUGUUUUAUCAAAGUAUUUACUAUUAAUAAUUUUCAUUUUUUCUUAAAAUUUUGAAAUUCAAACUUGUAAACGAUUUGAAAAUGUAAAGUGACUUUAAACAAAAAAUGCACAUCGUUUUGAAACACAGUGAACUGUAAUUUUCAAGACGCGUUUUAUCAAAAAUAUCGUUUUACAUUUGUGAACAUUCAACAAAUUUUGUAAUUCAAAAAAAAAGAAAAGAGAGAGAAAUGGUUUUUACAGAACUAAGGAAGAAAUUUCUGAAUUCUCUUGUUUUGAAACAUUUGCAAAAGUGGAACAGUUGAAUUACAAAUGAGAAUUGAACUAAAAAUACACAUCAUUAACAGAGAGGGAAAGGGUGUGAAAUCUCAACGUGUUCUUGAUUUAAUGCGUCCUUCUUUCCCGAGAUUAACCGAAAAGGAAGUGGAUGAUAAAAAGAAGAGGGAGAUUAAGAAGUGGCGUGUCAUUAAUCUGGCUCUGGCGGCUAAUCCGGCUCUGGCGGCUGAUGCACCUCUAGCAGCUCCGGUGUCUCCAGCAGCUCCGGUGUCUCCAGCGGCUCAGCAUGAGGAAGCGCUCCAAAAGGAAGGGGCUUAGGAAGCUGUUCAGUAAAUCUAUAAAAUUGAUUUUUUUUUUUCGGUUUAAGUCUGUUUUUCUUUUUUUUUGUGUUAAAAAUUUGGCUCUUUUUUUUUUCAACGUGGUGUAAAAAGUUUGGUUUUCUACAAACUUAAAAAAAAAACAAAAGUAAUCCGGUAAAAAAAAUAUAUAUAUAAAGAUAGCUUUUCUCUCUUCUGGUGCUGCCACCUCAGCAGCCACCUCAGCAGCCAUCUGUGCAAUUAUUUUUUUUAAAAACUUUUAGUUUGUCCGGUUUCUUCAGUAACGGCAAAUGAUGAGACACUUUAAAUAAAUCAAAUAUCACACUACCAGAAACUAAAAUUAAACAAACCAUAUGAACGACAACAAUCACGGAAUCACCAUCAAAAGAGAAUUGCAUAAACAGAUUUUUCGACGGAAGUAAUAUUUUCCAGAAAAAAAACUCAGCUCAGCUUAACCAUAAACGCUGGACUUUCUACCAAUCCCAAAAAGAAUCCAUGAAAUCCACGCCAAAUUGGAGUCACCAACGGCACACCCAAAAAACCAAUUCCAAAGCUGAGAAACUGAUCAGCUCCCCAAUAUGAUGACGAAUAGAGGUAUAUCUAAGAAAUCAUGGGAAAGGGUUAGACCGGCACCGAUUCUGGAAAAAAGCACUGCAAGAGUGGACAAUACCGAAAUAAACAUCACUGAAUCACCCAAGGAAGAAAGAGAAGGAGGAUAAAAAAAUGACUCAAUUAGAGACCAAAGGAAUGGGUAUGAACAAAAGGUUGGUCCGACCAAAAUUUCAAUCACCCUCUUUCAAUUGAAGCACCCUCUAUCAACUAUAGAAGAGUUUUGCCAACAUUUGAGAGAGCUAUCGAUUAAUACCUACAAUUAUGAAGGGCUAAAAACGGACACAGCUUUGUAUAAUCAAAAUGAGAUUUCAUAAACAUCGAACGAAUAAAUAAAUAUAGCUGGAAAUGAGCUAAUAUAAAAUAAUACAAAAAAUUACAGACUAAAAAAAAACUUUCAUACUAACCAUCCAAACCCGAUUUCAAUAUAGACAUUUUGUACUUCUUUUGACUCAAGGCCUUAUACAAAAUAUACUAACGGAGAAAGUGCUUUCACAAUUACAAAUUAAAAAAACGAAAAAACAAAUACUUCAUAAACAAAAAUAAAUUAACAAGAAUAAAUAUAGCACUUCCAUAACAUUAACCAAAAAAUUAUUUAAAAAAAACACCCCGAAUAACACCUUUUAUAAGAGACAUAAGUCUCCCAUAUAUAAAACUAUAAAAAAAGGAAAAAACAUGUGUAUAAUAUAAUAAAGAAGAAUCGUAAUAUAAAAACAAUGGUAAACGUCCGCGCGUAACGCGGAUGAUACACUAGUCUUAUAUAAUGAUAAGUACGUUUAAGUGGUUACACAUAUAUUUAUAGAAUUAAUUACAUAGAAGUUAAAAAACUCUGUACUUAGUUGUCAACCGUCAAAUAUUUUGGAGAUGACGAUUCAUACACUAAACGGAGAGACCCAGCCGUUUUUUUUUGCUCUCUUCGAUAAGAUAAUGUAUUAAUUUAAUUCAAAUCUGAGGGACAAAAAUAAUAAAAUUCAGUAUGCAUAAGAAGGAGCGGCGAGAAAGAAGGAAAGACCAAUGGGAUCUAAAGGAGAAAUUUCUAAUAUUUUGACCAUGUUCUACACUGUUCGAAUUUAUUCAUUGCACUCUCACUGUAUUUUAUCUCAUCUUUACGGACUGCUUAUGUUUUCCUCAAAUCUGCUUAAUUCUCAUACGUUAUCAUUAGGUCGUCGUGAUGCUUUUACCAGGUUUUGAAAUUUUUAAUGGAAAGAAAUAGCAUAAGUGCUCUACAUGGCCAGAUAACCGUUGGAACUCUUAUCCUUCAGGUAUCUAGCCACUCUCCAAAAUAGCACAUCUAUAUAAUUUUCACAGCGUUUGUUUCUGCGCACUAUUUUGUAUGCCACUGCGUUUCAUCAAGCAACAGUUGCUUUCAUUAGAUUUUUAAUUUAUGGUUUCAUGAAUCUCUAGGACUGUGCUGUGGGUUUGCUUUUUGCUCUCCUUCCCGUUCUUGGUGGCACAUCUGGUGUCCUACAAGGAGUGUUGUCCAUGGCUAAAUCGUAUGUAUUCAAUUUUCCAGGAAGUUCUGUGAAAAUAUCGACAAUAUCCUGCUUCAUUUUUUACACUUGUUAUACUGUGGUCUAAUCAAUCCAAGUAUUUGACUUUUUUUUCUUUUUUUUUUUUGACGGUGUGAUCAUUUCUUUCCAGGUUGGCUAUUUUGAUUGCGUUUUUGGCUGCUUUGUUUGUAUUGUCCCUCUUGUUUAAUCUCAACUUUUUAAUUUCUAAGCUAAAAAUUAUUCAGAAUUGUACAAGUUUGAGUGAAGCUUUCGCAUAUGUCUAUGUAGUGGGCUCCACCCGUCUCCAUAACUUGCCAAACGAAUGAAUUCGUACAAAAAGGAGAAUAAUUAUUGAUUCACAUACAGAGCCUUACUAUCUCAACACUAUUUUUCAAUAAGGGGUUUUGUUUUGGAUUUUUUAGUUAUAUAAUAUGAUAUACAGUGGUCUAUCUUCUCUUUCAGUUUGAGUUUCUAUCUAAUUUGUCAAUAAAAACUGAUUUUAAAUGGGACCAAAUUUUAUUUUAGAUAACUUGUUCUAAAAGAUAUGUACAAGUAGCCACAACUUGUUCUAUCGAUAGUAAGAGACACUAAGGUCAAGACUCUAAGUAAGAUAAACAAUUCGUAAGAAUUUUUUUUUAUAUUUCUAACCAUUUGACGCCACAAAUCACAUAUGGAUCACAACAUCACUCCUUAGAAUGCAGAGAAAUUUUUUUUAUCACACGAACUUCUUUCCAACUUGCUUCUCCGUUGAUGUGAUGAAAUGAUUCCUACCAAUCCGUUCUCUAUAACUCGAGAGAAAAAGAGUGAAAAACUACAAGAGUUCAAAGUGUGAGAAAAACGGCAAGUGCAAUGUGAGAUUCAUAUGAGUGAAAAUUUACAUAGCAUAAUGGUAUGAAUAAAACUAGAUGACUUAUGUGACUUUGGAGUAGCAGUUGGAUGGAAGUGAAACUGCAAGAAGCAUAAUUAGAUCCCUUUUGGUUUGCAGUAUUAUGUUAUCAUCCUCUGCAGCUUCUGCAACAUCCACUUGAACCCGUUCAAUGCAUUUGAAUUCCCCCAAAAAACUCUUCAACUCUUCCGCAGUUCCUCGAUAACCAGGGAUAUGCAACGCCUUCACUUUGUUCAGAGGCAUGGAGACAUUGCCUGUGUAACCAUUCAGAACCUGAAAAAGCAGCAGCAAUCAACAAGUUCUAUGCAAACGAUCAACCACUAAGUUUGCGUAUGUUCAUAUAUAUUUGUUCAUAUGUUUUGCUUAUAGAAUAUACAUGGACGAUCAGAGUUUCAAGCUUUGGAGCCUGAUUAAGCAGGUAUGCCAGCAAUUUCCAACCUCACGUAUUCCUAAUCCCCAAAGAUAGAUUGACCAAAUUGCCAAACACCGGCAGCUUAUAUCUACAGUAAGAAUAAAUCACCUGAAACAAACACAAACACAGUUUUCAAGAAUGUCCAAUGUUCUUAAAAGAAAAGAAAAAAAGAAAGUGGCCAAAACUUUUACAUGAGCUGAAACGGAAGAGAGGUGAAGAAUCUCAACAUUUCUUAUCCCCACAAUGAGAUCGGUUACAUCCGGCGUCUUCACCAUAUCUGUCGGAUGAAGAUCCAUCUUAGCUUCGAUCGACUAGGUGUUCUAGGUUAACUUGUCUAUACUCAGCCAACGCAAAAUGAGAGUACUCAAGGUAGACAAGUUUUGGCAAGUCAAGUGACAUAAAAUCACAACCAUUAAAAUAAAGAGAAUCGUAGUAAACUGAUAGUCUCUUGAUGGACGGACUCGAUAUGGUGUGAGGCAUUGGUAAGAAGCCUUUGUGAUGGACUGAUAACUCCUCGAGCACUGGGCAACCAGCAAGAAGCACACCACACAGAUCUUCGUAUUGGAAGUAAACAGAAUCGAUGAAGAGCAACUUAAGAGAUGGAAGCAACACAUAUGAAGGAAUGUUUUCAAGAUAGAGCUGUGACCCUAGUGUAAGCUUGACCAGUGUUUUGCUUGCAAAGAGCUGAGGAGGAAGAGAGAGUGUACCCAUAUCUUUUAUCCUUAGGUCCGCUUCCAAAACACCACGGCCUGCGACAUUAGAUAUCCAGCGGUCCACACAAGCCUUUUGGCGUUCAUCGUACGAGACAACUUUUAGAGAGGAUUUCUUGAUGGGAGAAUCACAUUGCAAGAGGACAGUGUUCGAUCCACGAAAUUCUCAAAGCUCUCCGGAAACGCUAGUUUAUCCUCCCCUGCGUGGAGCGAGACAGAAUCAUCAAAGUCGAGGUUAUCCACCAGUCUAAACAAAUACCUCCACUGUUUCGAGAGAAGAGCUGUUGAAGCAGCCUGUUUUGUCGGAAGCAAGGACAAGAUGCUUCCUAGAACCUCGUGAGGGAGCCAGCUGAUUGAAUCCCUCAAACAGGUUGUGUCAAAUCUUUUGGCAUCCAUAGAGAGAUUCAAGUGUCUGAAACAUCAAAUGAUUCAACUUCUAGAUUAACCACAUAGCACCCACCAAAAGGAUAAGCGGAAUGCUGAAGUAAUAGAGAGAGAACAAUGACCACAGAAGGAUUCACUUAUCACAACUACAAUGACUUGAGCAACCAACUACAUGAUGAAGCGGAAUCGACAUUGUUGCAGGAAACAAGAAAUAACAAUAAUAAUUGUCAAAGACGGAACAGAAACUAAAGGUUCAAGCUUCUACAUUUUUGUUUUCUUUCUUUUUUUGGAUUGAAGUUUAAAUAAAGGCUCUAGAUUGACGAAAACGAACAAUAUACCACUACAAAGCGAUUAGUGGUAGACUCAGUAUAUUUAAACCCUAUUGAAUCUCAAAAGAGUACACACAGUUGUAACUUGUAAGAACCAGAGUGAGCAGAACAGAGGUCAAUUUUCCACAAUUACAAAUCAACAAAGGUUCAAGCUUUUUUUUUUUUCUGGACUGAAUUGAAAAGCAAAGGUGCAAGCUUUCAUAUGAAGCGAAUAGAGACGAACCCGUGACGGUGGAGAAAGGACGAGAAUGAUGGCGUUGGUCGUCUCGAUUCGGAUUUAGGUCAAUAUUUCCGAUAUACACAAUUUAGGGAGUUUUGGUUUUUUAUGCUCGUCAAAAAAUAAAUAAAUCAGGAUGAGAAAGAUAUCACUCAAAAUAUAACUUUUGAUAUCACUCAAGAAAAAAAGGAUUUUGAUAAGAGUUCCAAAGGUGAUAAGAUCUAACGGCUGCGGUUGGUUUUAAUUUUGAUUUUGAUUUUUUUUUUAAAGUAUAUACUUGCAAGAUUAAAACUCGUAAUUAGUUAUCUUUUUGUUCAGACUGCUACUACUCCAAUAGUCGAUGUUAUGCUCUGUUUGACUCUGUUAUGCUCUGUUUGACUCUGCUAUGUUCUGUUUUGACCUGCUCUGCUCUCACUUCCACGUCUCUGUUUUGGGCAAUGAUGUUUCGAUUCACAGGAACUUAUCAUUUAGUGGAUUUACUAGACAGAAAAUAACCUGAUGCGCUCAUACCAUUUCAAGAGAUACCAAAGACCCAACAUACAAUUUUCUUUUUCUGCUUUGCAUUGGUCUCUUUCAUAGAAAGAUCAGUUAGUCCACCAUAUUUUUCCUAAAUGGUUCAGGAAUAUGUUUAUAAUUCCAGAGCCAAGAUGCAGUAUCUAUAAAUACAUGAGUUAACCAAAUACACGAGAUAUUAAUCAAAUUUCUUUUUUGAAAAUUUUCCAGAUCGUUUCCUCAUCAUAUGUUCUUCGACAAUUUCGUUUCUCAAUCCAAACUCAAUGCAGAUUUGGGUGAUAUGCCAAAUACCUUUUCGCAUCUAAUCCUCGUACAGCCAGAUGGUCUGAAACUAUUUUGCAAAACUUACAUAGGAAAUAUAUGUAUAGUUUGGAGGUUACAGUAAGAACUUGCUAAACUUUACUCUCUUGUAACCUCCUACUUCUGCAGUUCUGCUCCAGCCAAUAUGUGGAAUAUGAAGAACCUAUUGGUUUUAAUGCAUUAGCUUAAUGUUGCGGAACUGGGUUGAAUUUGCAUUCGUAUAUCUAGAUCCCUCUCGAUCUCUCAAGAACAAUAGCAAAGAAAAGUUGUUUAGCAAAAAAAAAUAGCAAAGAAAGGAAAACAGAGAAAUCAUAGCAAGAACAGAGAAGUGAGGAAGAAGAAAACAAAAAAUAUGCACGAGUGACUUUACGAAAUAAGUUCUAUGUGUGAGGAACCCUAGCUAGGCAGGACUAGCAACCCACUAAUCGCAAGUUACACAAUUACACACUCGACAAUUCUUGCUAACACCUCCUAAAGAUCAAUCAGUACUCUGUUUUAUAUGUUACAGCCGUUAAACAACUUUCUAACCACAAACCAAUAAUGAAUCGAACCUAAACGAGUCUAGACCAGCUCACUAAUCAGUUCUAGCCCAAAUCACGUCAACCAAUGUGGUUUACACCUCAAGUCUCAAGAUGUAUGGGAGAUCUGGCAAAGGUUUUACGAAAUAAAUUUUCUUAUUUCAUGCUAAAGAGAGAGAACAUUUUUGAAAAGGAAAAACAAAAAUUGCAGGAUAAAUUAAAUAGAAUUCGAUUUACAUAUUAUGUUUAUGUAAGUUAAUAAACCAACCAGCCAACCAAAUCCUCUAAAAUCUAUACCCAACCAAUCUCGUCGGUUAGUUAUUAAAACCGCCAAGCUGACGUGGCAACCAAAGGCCUUUCGUGCCAACAAAGCACUAACUCUCCCUGUCGUUUCGCCACGUGGAACCCUCUAACUUGCGCUUUCUCCACUAAACACUCCGCUUGAAAGUCAACAAACUGGCUUAACGGAAUCGGCCUCAUCCCCGCCGCGCAAAACGCCUCUCGCCACGUCAUCUCUCCACCCGCUUGUCUCUUACUCGCCGCCGCUUCAACCGCAGCCGCGAUUUUAGGUCGCAACACAAACGCUUCUAUAAUCUUCUUCACCAGAUCACCAGUCGGAGCGGCGGCGUCGAGAGAUUCCAACACCAUCGUGUAGAACUCGAGACCAUUAACGAACUCUCUCUGGAACGAUCCGGCUCCGGAGAUUCCAUCCCAUCCUUCGCUAUCGACGAAGACGACGACCUUCGGCGAAACUCGCCGUAAAUCGUUAACGAAAUCGGAGAUUCCGUUUAAACGACGGAAAAUCACCGGGGAAAACAAAACGACGGUUCUCUCUCCUUCUACGAAUCUGAUCGCUUUGAAAGAUAACAUCUCGAAGGUUCGCAUCAGAACGAACUCGAUCUGAAAUCGGAUUUUCAGAUCUGCGGCGAAUUGAGCUAGGUUCUCUUUGACGAGACGCGUCUCGACGGCGGAUUCCUCCGAUACAACCGCCGUGACUCUCAGAAAUCCGCCGUUGAUUGAUGAUUUCUCUGCGAUCUCUCUCAUGAGCGACGCGUAUUGACCGCCGAAUCCGAUCUCGAAGUCGACGACGUGAGCGAACGGGGAAGAAGAUUGUUGGAGAGAAUCGAGGAUUGCUUGAUUCGCGGUGAAAUGAGAGAAGAGUGGGAUCGGAGAUAUCCCGGAGAAUUCUUUGAUUGCUCGAAUUCUCUGAACGAUCUCGGUCCAUGAAGUUAACCGGUUUUGAUUCCGGGUCGACCCGGAUAAAACCGAUCCGAGAGCCUCCUUGAAGUAAAACGCCGCUCUUUGAAGCGGCCUACCCGCCGGAGAUCUGAGACGUUGAUUGAGCCGUGACAAUACCACCUGAGCGAGUUGCAACUCGUCCGAUUCGACACAGUCCACAACUCGGAUGAGAUCUUCUAUGAAAUCAAAGCCUCCAUUGACACUACCUUCGUUGUUGUUGUUGUUGUUGCUGCUUUCAAACCCAUACCCUUGACCACCGGGAUAGACAUCGGAGGACCGAAACUCCGCCGGAUGAAGCUGAUCGGGAAAACCGGGAAGCUGUUGGUCGACGGCGAAGUGGGGAGAAAUGGCAGACGAAAGGAAAUUUGAUUUCAAAUUAGGGGCAGAAUCGUCAUCUAAUUCUAAUUCUUUCAUAAUCGAAUCCCAAUCCAUGGAACGCAUCACAUGAUCAUCUAACGGAAACUGAUUAUCACCACCAGUAAUCUCCGCCGCCGAAAUGACUGGCUUCUCCUCCGCCGCCGCUGGACUUGGACUUCGACGGAGGUCGAGGACUGAAGUUGGCUCGUUGUAGCCAGCAAGAUUCCUUCCUCCUGAGUUACUGUUCGUGGUGUCCGAUGAAGCAGAGACUCUCAUGUCUCGUGAAAACAGAAUUAGUUUUUUUUUUUCUCUCUCUUUCUCGAAUUUGUGAGAAAGAAGAAGGUAGAGAGAAGAGGUUUUUGAAAGGUAUGAUUUUUAUAAUGGAGGUUUCGAAUUAUAUAUAUAUUGAUAAGUUUUUAUGUCGAAAUGGUAUACAGUAGAUAAAAAGAUUCUUUACUUUUUAUUUUUGUUAUGUCAAAAUCAGAUUUCGAUCACGAGAUGUUCGAGCUCCACUAUGUUGAUGAUCGAAAAGACAUUUCUAAAAGAAGGAAAAUAAAAGGGCUUAAAAAAUUAUGUACAAAAACUCCUUAGAAUUUCAGGAAGUUAGAACGGGUCUAGUUUUAUUCAAGAAACAUUUCUUUACUUUGUUGAAAAUGUUUCAUUUCUUUGUUUAAACAAGAAACAUUUGGGACUUCCUUGAAAGAAGAUUUAAAACAUGCAUUUUGGUCAAGAAAGUAAUGAAUUGAAUCAAGUGGUUUGAGGCUUUAAGAACUUUGCUUUAUUCUAAACGGUAAUAUAAAUUACUGCAAAAACAAACUUGAUUUUGCACAAUAUGAUCAGCAACGUCAACGAAGAAUACCAAAGUCAAUUUUGUCAAAACAUCUCUUAUCUAGAAUGUAGUCAUAUGCAUAGCUUAAAAAACAAAAAUAAUGUUAGGGAUGUUCUCGGUGGUUACUAGUUAUCUCGAUUUUAGUCUAGGUUAAAGUUCAUUUUAAUUACACUGAAAAAUACCAUCGAAUCAACUUUCUCUGAAAACUCUUCUUACAUGAAUGAGUCGAAAUCAAAGAUAAAAUGUUGGAACUAGUCUUUUUAAUACGAUAUCAAAAUAUAGACUAGUUUAAUUUUCAUUAAUUUCAAUCUGCACGGGUUUUGAUUAUAACCAAAGAAACUUUUUUUGUCGUUACAGGAAUCUGUAAAUCUAAUUAUUCAAUCUUAUAUCUGUUAAUAACAAUUUGUCAAGGGAGCUUCUAGCAAAAAACUGAAUUAACGGUUAUGGUGUGCUGAAAAAAAAAAAGAACAGUGACCACUUGGAUCCCGAGAAAGUGACUGCCUAAAUCUUGAUCUCACUUUUUUUAGUUAAUCUUGUCAGCGAUUGGCGUUGGAGGCGCGAUUUUACCCGCGGGUAAAUUAUUGAACCAACAUGCUCAGUCCCACUUCUCUCAUCUUUUUCUUUGCCUUUGCGGCGAUGAGUGAGAAGGCGAAUAUGUUCCUUCACUGAUUUGGUUGGAAGUUAGCCUGUCCAUAUUUUUAAUUUACCAUUCCGCAUUUUUAUGUUACUUUUAUUAUUAUUUUUUUGUGAACAAUACUUUUGAUUUUUCAUUAAAAGUUUACAAAACCGAUUUAGAAUUAUCUAAAUAACCAUCAUUACAAUUUAUAUUGUUUAAACACAUACUUAUAAGGAUACGAUACCGUAUUUUUAGCUACUAUAUAAACAAAGGUAAGCAGUUAGUAAUACAACAUGCAAUAACACCAUAUAAAAUUUAUUAAAUUCUAAUCUUUUGUUUUUUUUGUGUGUGCGUAGAUACUCAACGAUUGAAACCGAUUAAUAAAGUAUGUAUUUUAAGGCAUUUGCAUUUUCAAGUUUAUAUUGUUGUGUUUGUUUUCGGUUUUCUAAAAGGUUUAUACUUGUUUUUCCAGCCAUUGAAUAAGUAAUUACAAAGGAUUUUACCAAAAAGGUUGAAAAAGGUUUUGGACAAAAUAAAGUUGAAAAGGCGUCCUCUCAUUACAACAUAAUUCAACCUUUUUUCUCCAGCAGAAAAAUGCCUCGCAUCUAAUUAUAUUAUAUAAUUAAAUCUUAGUGCUAUAGUUUAACUCGUCAGUAUAGCAAAAUAAAAUAGAACAACAAAACCACUCUGUUUCGGUUAAAUGCACAUCCCUACAUUACAUGACUACAUACAUAUGUUCUAUUUGAUUUGAUGCGCAUCUCCGAGCUAGUAUGCAGGCUUUAUUUAAUAAUCAUGAAGUCUGUGGACUUAAAUUAAAAUAUUUACCAACUCCACAACAUUAUUUUUCCGAAUAACUAAAAAUUAAUAUUACAUUUUUGAUAGUUUACUACGUUUUUCGCUUGAGGUUUACUUUUGUUUCCCAGAAUUUAUUUUCAGCAGUCUAAACCAAGCUAAUUUAGCACAUGUGAUCAUAUUUUAAACAAAUCAAUCAACCAAAUGAUAUCUAACCUUCCCACUCUGCCAGUAUUUUUUUCAACUGACCUAAUAAUUCUCCACGUUGGAUUCCUUCGUCACCCAAAACGUAACAUUAUUGUAUUGGCAAGUUUAUUAGAGCGUUAUGUUAUCAUAACCAACUUAAAUUUAGGUUAAAUAGUUUUAUUUUUGGAUAUUUGAAAAAUAAAACUGCAUUCCAACAUGUCUGAAAAGCAAAAAAACUUAUUGGAAUCUUGAAUUUAAUAUAUAGUGAAUAAGGGAGUUCAAACCAAAACUAAUAAUGCAUAUUCAAGCGGAUCCAUAUUAGUUUUACUCUGUUUAUAAUUUUUAUAAAACAAACGGUUCUAACUGAGAAAAUGGAAAUUUUAUAUCAUUCUUAAUUUAUGUUUAGGUUAUUAGGAAAAGAAAACUCUCAGUUAUUUUAUUUUUAUUUUGGGUAAAAUAACAUUUCGUCUUUUAAUAAUGCAAAACAAUAUUCAUCUAUCUCCGCCAACUCUAAGCUACAAUCAACUGAGUUACUCAAAUAUAGAUUUUUGGUAAUUCUUUGUUUGUUACUAAAGCUUUUUUUUGUCGGCUGUUACUAAAGCUUAGUUAUUUUAUUUUUGGCACACCGAGUAUUCUUAACAAACAAAAAAAAGAGUCAAAUACUUAGCUAGGAAGUAAGAAAAACAAAGGAGAGGCCUAUAAUACACAACACAUAGACGUUUCAUUUUAAAGCAGAGAAAGCUUCAAGCUCACAAAAGCAAUAAAGGAUGUUUUUCGUAGAUUCUGAUUUUAUGUCAUUCACACACAUAAAAAGAUCGUUCCAUUAAAAUAUAACGCAGAAAGUGCAAGGAAAAAUUGAUAAGGAGAUCGAAUUUUUUUUUUUUUGAUUUUGAAGUUCAUAGCUGUGAAACCCUUAACAAAAAAAAUAGCUGUGCAUACAUAACAAUAAUGUAUACCCAAUAAUUGAUUCGUAGUGAUAAAUUGUGUAUUUUAGGUGGUGUAUAUAUUUGUAUUUCUUUUUGAUUUUCACGUACAAAUAAUCUACAUUAAAAAGUAGGGUGAGAAACAGCAGCUGGACAUUAAUUAAUCUGGUAUUGAACCAUAUGAGCUCUAACUUCAAUUUAUCUGCUUAGUUAAAUUCAAAUCCUGCUCACUUAGUUCUAGAAUCUAGAUGGUUCAUCAUUCAUGACUUCAUGUAUAUAUUACAUAAUACUCUUUUUUUUUGACGUUUGCAAAGUGAUCUAUUGUGUUUAGCUAAUGCCAAAAAAUAAAGGUAUUUAAAAAAAAACAUAAAGGUAUUUAAAAAAAACAUAAAGGUGUUUUUUUUUUGUGUCGCAACAUAAAGGUGUAUAAUGAAGCUUUUAAGUAAGUUUAUAGUUGUGCAAAGCGGCAAGAAAAAAAAGGUGUAAGUUUUAGUAAUGAAGAAGACCAAUCAAUAACAUAUUUAUAUAGGUCAUGAUAUCGUAUUUAUCGUCCGAUAAACUAGUACCAAGUUUUAUCAUGGAAUAUUUUCUAUCAUUGUAUGCAUAUCAUGCGGAUGAAUACUCACAUGAAUUUUUCAUAAAUCAGUGUGAUCAUAAUACAUACCUUAUUUUAAUACAUCUGUGGCAACAACUCAGCACAUUUUCUAAAUAUUUUUUUAAUCAAACAUAAGCUAAGAGACAUAUUUAACAUUAAAAAUAAUUUUACUUAACCGAAAAAGGAGGGGAAGAGAAAGUAUCUUCAAUCUUUUACAUGAUGGAAAAGUAACAUAAUGAGUAGUCACAGUCAUAACAUGCUUUUUCUGAGACAUGGAAGAAUCCAUUUGGAAGGUUGGAUAGGUUGUUCGGUAAUUUAGCCUUCACUUUAGAAUUUAUUACUUUACACGUUUUCACUAUGUAACUUUCACUUUCACUCACAUUUCCACAAUGUAUCCAUUUUUUUUUCAAAUAAGAGAAAGGAUAGCUAUUCUUUAAAUAUAAAAAUAUGAAGACCGUAUAAUUUUUUGUAUAACUCAUGUUGGAUAAUUAAUUUUCGUAUUCUAAAUUCUAAGUAUCUUUUUAAUUCAAAAUUUAAAUUAUGACAUUUUAGAAAUAAUUGCUGUAAUUAUUGUUAUUCGUAUAAUUUGUCUAUUAUCAAAAAUCGAAUUCUAAUCAUAUCAUAUAUAUAUUAUAAGCAAAGUAAAAUUUUGAGUUAAAGCUCUCUCAUUCAAUUUUAGGGUGGCUAAUUACCUUUUACCCCUUCUUAUAUUUUUUAAAUUAAUUUUAAUAACAAAAUUAUUAAAAAUUGUAAAUUAAUUAAAAAUUAUUAAAAAUCGUAAUAAAAUAAAAUAUUAAAAAUCGUAAAUUAAUAAAAAAACUGUUAAAAUCGAAAUUUAAUAAAAAACACUUAAAUUUAAUAAAAAUUAUUCAAAAUCGAAAUUUAAUCAAAAAAUAUUUAAAAUAGAAAAUAACAAAAAUUUAAUUGAAAUUUAAUCAAAAAAACAUUUAGAAUCAUAUCAUAUAUAAUAUAUGCAAAGUAAAUUUUUCGCUAUAAGGUCUCUCAUUCUAUCUAGGUAACUAAUUCUCCUUUAUUCAUUAAUAAAAUCUUUUUAAUUCCUUUUUAUUCGUUAAUCAGAUUAUCUGUUGUGCGAGAUUAUCUGAAAAAAUGUGCAUGUGAUGUGGGAAAUCCUAGCUUAAGUUGAGAGCUAUAUAUUACUUUUUUAAAUGUAUCUUAAGCUCAAUUGUGGUUUGGUUUCUACAUUGGUCGGAUUUUUGUUGUAUUGUUUACCGUCUUUAUUUUUUAUAAAUCAUUUUUCGUUUUUUUCUAUUGUUUUUUUCCGUUUUUUUCAGUACCAGUAAUAGUGUUCCUCGAUUAUAUGUUGUUUUUUUGUGUUGUGUGUAAAUUUUGUAUUGGAGUCUACUUACAUUGAAAACUACUGUUUUAUGGUAUUUUUCUCUCUUACAGAAUCAUAGAGCUGGAAAUGAAGCUGAGCAUUCUUUAUAAGAAACAGGGCCGUGCAACUCAGUUCUCCAAUAAGGCUGCUCGAGACGAAUGGCUUCGAAAGGAGAUUGAAGAUCUCGAGCGUAUUCUAGACUCAAAUAUGGUUCAAGUGAGUUUAUCAAAUAUGGAAGAUACAUCAUCAUAGCAACAAUUAGAUCAUAUGAUUAGACAAUGUUUUUGAACGUUAAAAGGAUGGCAUUUCUAUGACAUUUGGAUCUCUUUAUAGUUGAUGCAUAUGAUUGGUGAUAUAACAUGUUUUAUUCUAUAUAUUGUAGGAGCAAAAAUUUGAGGAUGAGAUUCUUCGCCUCAAUACUGAUUUGACAGAGCUUGAUGUACACAUCAAGAAACAUGAAGUUGGAAUUGGUGAUCUAAAAGCUCACAUUUCCAAGUCACAUGAACAAUUCAAUUUUAAAAAGAGGGAGAGAGAUGAAGAACAUAGAAAAAGGACGUAAGAGUAUUUCUAUUAGUUCAUUACCAUACCUUAAGUACAUUUCAAAUAUAUCAGGAGACAUAUGUUUACACAGGGAAAGUGGGGAGAAGAAAGUCACCUAUCUUCUGAGAUUGAGAAGUUGAAAACCGAAGUUGAAAGGGCAGAAAAAAACCUUAAAAAUGCAACUCCAGGGGUGAGUGAUUGGCUUUGGUAUCUCUUUUUAUCUUGUUUGCUAUGAAAAUGUAAAAUUUUCCAAGACUAGUUGAUGCAUUAGAUACAUACAUUGUCUGUUCUGCCGCUUUGAGAAGUAUCUUGUACGCCAUUUUAAGUUCCCUGUUUCUGCUAGUGACUCAAGACCAUUCAUUGUAUCAGUAUUUAAGGCGAGGGCUAAGCUCUAUUCCAAGGAUUUGCAUAGAGUAUGAGAUCAAUGGAGUUUUUGGUCCACUUUUUAAGUUGGUUGAUUGCGAGGAAAAGUAUUUCAAUGCAGUUGAAGUCACUGCUGGAAACAGGUAUGCGAGAAACCUGCUAAUAUUUAUGAAUAAUGACCUUAAUCUCUUAUUCAAACAAAAGAAAUGAAAUGAUUUCACUACUCGCUAAUGAUCACGGUCGCUAUUGUCAUCUGCUGUUUGUUCUAUGAGCGCAGCCUAUUUCAAGUGGUAGUUGAGAAUGACGAUAUUUCAACCGAGAUUAUUAGACACCUGACUUCUCUAAAAUGUGGACGCUUGACCUUCAUACCUCUGAACCGGGCAAAGGUGCCGAAUCAUGUAAUCUAUCCUCAAAAUUCUGGUGCAACACCAUUGAUGAAAUGUUUAAAGUUUGACUCCAAAUUUGCAUCAGCAUUUGGUCAGGUGCGUCUUUCUUUCUCUGAUCUACCACUUUCUCUUCCGAUGCAGAAAUGUCAUUUCAUUGUAUUUCAAAAUGUGCCUUGAUCUGUAUAGGUUUUUGGUACAACAGUAUUAUGUGAUGAUCUGAAUGUGGCAACAAGAGUUGCUAAGAGUAAUGGCUUAUUAGAUUGCAUAACUUUGGAAGGUUGGAACUGAAAAUGCUUUUUUCUUUGUUUCUUUUACUUUAUUUUCCAACAAGAGUUGUUAAAGAGUAUUUGGUUGGUACCUUAAGGCUCUGGUGUGCCAUGGCAGGUGAUUUGGUGAGUGGAAAAGGUGUCAUGACCGGUGGGUAUUAUGACAAAAGUCAGUCGAAGUUGAGAUGCAAUAAUAUCAUAGUAAAAAAUCAAAACACUAUAAAUACAAAAGAGAAGGUAUUGGAGGAUGUUAAAAGGCAGCCCCAAGAUAUCCUUUUCCAUAACUGACUUUCUUGGUUUAGUUUUUUUGUUGGUUUUUAAUCGCAUUUUCGUUUUUCUUGUCCAUUCAAAGAGUUUUACUUAACUUGUCUCACUGAUAGAUCAGAAUAUCACACAGCUUGUUACUGAGCUGCAGAGGCUUGAAGCAGACUGGACUCACCGUAAUUCACAGGUGGAGAAACUGAAGCAAGAAAUAGCUAAUGCGAAUAAGCGGAAACAGGAUAUACAUAAAGCCCUUGAAAAUAAGGUUUUUCCUCAUUCUUUUCGAGCGUCCAUUAAGGGUUGAAAUAUGUUUUUCCACAUACUUAAUUUCUUCACCUGUUUGCAGGAGAAAUCACUAGGUGAUAUUAAAACACAAGUUGAUCAGCUAAGAUCUAGCGUGGCCAUGAAGAAAGCUGAAAUGGGUAAGGAACUUGUGGAUCACGUAACCCCAGAAGAAAGGGAGCAAUUGUCACGAUUAAACCCCAAAAUUAAGGAUCUUCAGGUAAAACUUAUUGCAUACAAGACGGAUCGCAUUGAGGUUGGAAAUGAAAGAGAAAAAUUGCUUGAAAGUGUUUGUUUUCUUCUUUGAGUUGAUUUAUUAUUUGCUUUUUGUUUCAUUACAAACAGAGGGAGACAAGAAAAGCAGAGUUGGAGGCUAAUUUGGCUACCAACUUAAAGAGGAGAAAAAAUGAGUUACAAGCUACUAUAGCUUCCAUGGAGGAUGAUACGUUGCUUAGUUUAGCUGGCUUAAAAACACAAGAACUCAAUGAUGCAACUUUGUUAGUUGACGAGGCCACAAACGAGCUCGAAAGUGAGUCCAAAACAUUGUAAUCUACUUUUGGGUUGACAUUGCUUGAUAUUCACUCACUAGUGCCAUUUACAUGGCUUUAUAGGUCUCUGUCACAGCAUUUCUGAGAAGAGAAUGCAAGUCAAGAAAGUCAAAGAUAAGAAAGCAAAGUUAAAGGUACCUAGUAUAUAUAUAAUCGGUAAGCUAAGAGUAAUAUCGUUUUCUCUCUAAGAUAUCUUUGAGAAAAUUUUCUUCUUCUCAGACAUUGGAAGAUGACCAUGAGGGGAAACGACAAGAUAAAGCAAAAAUUUUGGAGGAACUAUUCAUUCAACGCAACACACUCCUUGCUAAGCAAGAAGAGUACACGAAGAAAAUUAGGCAAUCAGGCCCAUUGUCACUUGAAGCUUUUGACACGUAUGUUUGCGAAUAAUUGUCCAAUAGUUCUUCAGCUAGUCUUCAUUGGGGGAAAUUUUUUUAUCAUAUGUAUAAGCUAAUGGUAAUAUUAUCAUUAUAGGUAUAAAAGAAAAAACAUCAAGGAGUUGCAGAAGAUGCUACACCGGUGCAGUGAAGAGCUGCAACAAUUCAGCCAUGUAAACAAGAAAGCGCUUGAUCAGUAUGUAAAUUUCACGGAACAACGAGAAGAACUUAAGGAGAAGCAAGCAGAGCUUGAUGCAGGGGAUGAGGUAUAAAUAAUGGGAGGUUUCAUUAUCAUACUCUUUAACAAAUUCUGUGUUCUAACUAUUAAGUAAACGACACAUUUCGAAAUUUCUGCAGAAAAUCAAAGAACUGAUAUCAGUUCUUGAUCAGCGGAAAGACGAAUCUAUAGAACGUACUUUCAAAGGUGUUGCACUUGAAUUCAGGAAAGUAUUCUCUGAGCUUGUGCCAGGUGGAAUUGGUGACCUUGUCACCAUCCCCAAGAAUAAGGCAUGUUUCUUUUUCCCUUGUGAUACAUUUAGUGUUCUUAUAUACUAAGUACUAUGCUCAGCUAGUUAACCCCUCGCGCACGGAACCAUCUUACUUAGUAUAUUUCAUUGUUGUUUGAUAUGUGAUCCUUGUACGUGAAACAUUUUGGGUGCAUAUUCAGGACCGUGAUCAUGAUGAUGAAGAUGAAAUUUAUGGAUGUCGUGAAGCUGAUACAGAAGGAAAAGAUGAGAAAUAUAUUGGUGUAAAAAUGAAGGUAACAUCUAUUAUAAUCCCUUGUGUUUAGUGUUCAUGUACUGAUCACAUUUUACCAAUUUGUUUUUGCGUAGGUGUCGUUUAAUGGUCAAGGGGAGACACAAUCAAUGAAACAAUUGUCAGGAGGCCAAAAGACCGUUGUUGCAAUUGCUUUAAUCUUUGCGAUCCAGCGAUGCGAUCCUGCACCAUUCUAUCUAUUUGAUGAGAUCGAUGCAGCACUUGAUCCUCAGUAUCGAACAUCUAUCAGCAGUAAGUAUCCUUUUCUUUGAUCUAUCUAUCUUUUUUAAUUUUAUUGAAAAUGUCCCACACAUGCAUGAUGCAUGCACAGAACUUGAAAAAGUUACAAUUUUCUUAACCAAACUAUAUUUAUUAAUUAUAGACAGGAUUCAUGGUUUAGCUGAAAGCACACAAUUCAUUACAACAACUUUUCGUCCGGAGCUUGUGAAAGUUGCGGAUAAGAUAUAUGGAGUAUUUUAUAACAACAGUGUGAGUAGUGUGAAUGUUAUUUCAAAAGAUCAGGCGUUGGAUUUCGUCGAGAAAGAUCAGGCGAUGCUAAAUUUAUGAUCGUAUAUAUUGACCAGAGAAGUGUUGCAUUGUCUUGAGAGUUUUUUUUUUUUUCUAUCGGAAAUUAGCAUGAAUAUGAUGCUUUUGGUUAGAGACCCUUGUCGUUUGUUUCAAACAGAAGUUUGAGAAAUUUUUUGGACUAUGUAUGACUUUUAAAUUUUAGUAGUAUUUUGGUUUGAUUUGUGUUUGUAUAAAGAAUAAGAGUAAACAAAUAGUUCUCAUACUUGCUGUUUACAGAAAGAAAAAUUGAUUUCAUUUCGUUUGAAAUAUUUACAAAUACAUAUGUUGAUUUUACCCUCCAUUUUAGUUAACUCAAAGUUUGAAUAAAAGAUAUAUGAAAUUAUCUUUAACGAUUUUGAACAUUCUUUACGAAGUUACGGAGUUACUAAUCAAUUGGCCGAUUUUCACCUUAAUGAGACAUUUUUUCCAUCGAGGGUCAACGAUUGUUAUACAAUUCUUAUUCAAAAUGAUCAGAUACACGUGUCAAUGUAACUAUACACGUGUUCACUAUAUACGACGCGUGUCCAAAACCUGGCCCCACUCUCCAUGGAUUCCUUAUGUUAUUUACCGCCAAUUACAUUUCCUGUGAAGAGAUAUAUGUAUGUCGCAACUCCAAAAGUCUCUUUGAGUCUAUCAAACAAUGUCGAAAUUUACGAUUCUUCCACUCUGUCUCGUUACCUUAUUCAUCUGCACGAGCUCGUUUUCGGAUCAAAACGACGACGUCCCGAGCUUCCAGUCGCCACUUCUGAUCAAGAAAAAUCAACGGACGCAAAUCGUUGAAACGGAGUUCGGAGAGAUAUCAGCCGUCCAGAUCGGCGAUGGAUACAAUAUUCAGUUUAUUACAUUGGAGCCAAACGCAUUCUUGCUUCCUCUUCUUCUCCAUUCCGACAUGGUUUUCUUUGUCCACACUGGUACGUAACGUACCCAUUCCCAAACUCAAAUCACAUUUUAUUCUUUUAAUCAUAGACUAUGUAAUACCUACUUAGUAAAUGUUUUUAUUUAUACCUUGAAUAUUUUCCAUCUAAAAUUGAAAGUAACAUUUUUCUGAGCAUGGUUAAUUAGGGUUUAUUUUUUAAGUAAUGUUGUGAUUGUGAUUUGGGGAUUGUGUUAGGGAUUGGAAUUUUGAAUUGGGUCGACGAUGACAAAGAGAGGACGUUAGAAUUAAGACGAGGAGAUAUUUUUAGGCUACGUUCCGGCAUAGUCUUCUACGUCCAUAGCAACUUGGAGAGAAGCGAGUUUCCAGAGAAACUUAGGGUUUACGCAAUCUUCGAUGUGGGGAAGUGUUUACACGAUCCAUGUAUAGGAGCGUACUCGAAUAUCAGAGACUUGUUAUUGGGAUUUGACGAGAAGACCCUCCGGUCAGCUUUUGCGGUAUGUGUGUUGUGUGUGUGUUUCUACUGGCGAGACAUGAUUCUACAUUUUGCCCUUUUGGGGUUUUUUCAUUGAUUACAUAUCGUGCUUGUUUUUUUUUUAACUAUGGAAGGUUCCCGAGGAGAUUUUGGGGAGGGUAAGAGAUGAGGUGAAGCCUCCGUUGAUCACAAAUGCUCAGCCUAGAAACAGAACAAAAGGGCCAGAGGAGGAGACGUGGCAGUCACGGCUUGGUAGACUCUUUGUAAGAGUUGAAGACGUGACUGAUCAUUUGGCUAUGAAACCGGUUGAUAAUAGUAAGAAGAAGAAAUCAAGUGCCUACAAUGUUUUUGAGGCCGACCCGGACUUUAAGAACGUCAAUGGCCAGAGCAUAGUGGUUGACGAGAAGGAUACAGAUGAUUUGAAGGGUUCGAGUGUUGGAGUUUUCAUGGUUAAUCUAACGGAGGUUGAGCCACUUAAAAAAUAAUUUAAUACCUCGUUGCAUUGGUUUUUGAUUUCUUAUCAUGUUUUGAUGUUGACAUGAAAAUGAUGUAUCUAAUUUGUAGGGAUCAUUGAUGGGACCGCAUUGGAACCCUAGUGCUUGUGAGAUAUCGAUUGUGUUACAUGGGAAAGGGAUGAUUCGGGUGGUUAACCACUCGUUGCCGCAAAGCGAAAGCAAGAGAAAGAGCGAGAGUGUGAGGUUCAUGGUUGAGGAGGGGGAUGUUUUUGUUGUGCCGAAGUUUUAUCCUAUGGCUCAAAUGUCUUUUGAAAACAGCUCAUUUGUAUUUAUGGGAUUUAGCACGUCGGCGAAGACAAACCACCCUCAGUUCCUAGUAGGGCAGAGCUCGGUUCUGAAGGUAUUUGACCGGGAGGUACUUGCUGCAUCCUUCAACGUGAGAAAUGAGACUAUCGAGAGAUUGUUGGGAGCUCAAAGAGAAGCUUUGAUGUUGGAGUGUGUGUCCUGUGCCGAGGUAGAGCUUUCUAGGCUUAUGAGAGAGAUUGAAGAGAGGAAGAGACGUGAGGAGGAAGAAACUGAGCGAAGAAGGCAAGAAGAAGAAAGGAAAAGGGAGGAAGAGGCAGCCAAGCAAAGAGAAGAAGAGAGGAGGAGACGCGAGGAAGAAGAAGCUGAGCGAAGAAGGAAAGAAGAAGAGGAGGCAAGAAAGAGAGAAGAGGAGGCGGCUAAGAAACGAGAAGAAGAGAGGAGAAGACGUGAGAAAGAAGAAGAAGAGGCGAGAAAGAGAGAAGAAGAGGAGGCUAAGAGACAAGAGGAAGAGAGGGUAAGGCGUGAGAAAGAAGAAGAAGAAGAAGCAAGAAAGAAAGAAGAAGAAGAAGCAAGAAAGAGAGAAGAAGAAAGGGAGAGAGAGGAAGAGGAAGCUAAGAGACAAGAAGAAGAGAGGAAGAGGCGUGAGAAAGAAGAAGAAGAAGCAAGAAGGAGAGAACAAGAAAGGGAGAGAGAGGAAGAGGAAGCUCAGAGACAAGAGGAAGAGAGGAAGAGGCGUGAGAAAGAAGAAGAAGAAUUAAGAAAGAGAGAAGAAGAAAGGGAGAGAGAGGAAGAGGAAGCUCAGAGACAAGAGGAAGAGAGGGUAAGGCGUGAGAAAGAAGAAGAAGCGGCAAGGAAGAGAGAAGAAGAAAGGGAGAGAGAGGAAGAGGAAGCUCAGAGACAAGAGGAAGAGAGGGUAAGGCGUGAGAAAGAACAAGAAAAGGCAAGAAGGAAAGAAGAAGAAGAAGCGAGAAAGAGAGAAGAAGAAAGGGAGAGAGAGGAAGAGGAAGCUCGGAGACAAGAGGAAGAAAGGAUAAGGCGUGAGAAAGAAGAAGAAGCGGCAAGGAAGAGAGAAGAAGAAAGGGAAAAGGAAGAAGAGAUGGCUAAGAGACAAGAGGAAGAGAGGCAGAGGAAGAAGAGAGAAGAGGCGGAGAAGAAGAGACGCCAAGAAGAGGAAGCGAUGAAGAGAGAAGAGAGAAAGAGAGAAGAAGAAGCUUC
This 60064-nucleotide long non-coding RNA is filed under the name Eutrema salsugineum. The record is from RNAcentral. Lineage: Eukaryota; Viridiplantae; Streptophyta; Magnoliopsida; Brassicales; Brassicaceae.